UCCAGGAUGGUGAUGGUGCCAAGGAGGACUCUCGAACGCCGAUUGAUUGCAUCGUUGCUGCCGUACCCAUGGAGUGGCGCGGCUCCAACCACUCUGAGAUGGUAUUCCUCUCUCUUUCUUUCCCGACAGAACUAAGAAUCUUGUGUCAUCCUCUUUUCUAAAUAAAGUAUAACCUGUUAGCUACCUGAUGGGCACUGUCUCUGAACUUUUCAACCCCUUCAGUUUUGCCGAUGCACUGUAGACUCUAACAAUGGUGGAAAGGAAUCAGAUUCCAAUGAAACUAGCACUACUGUGUUUUUCCACAGUUGCCUUUUUUGCUAAAUUAACUAGCUUCUUCAUGGUAGAGUAGGUACAAAGAUACUCUCUGAUGAAUUUUAUUGAUAUUGUGUAAAGUAGAAAGCCUGACACUACUACGUUGGUAACUGAGUUAACCAAUCGUAGAACUAGAAACAAGUAGGUGACAGGAAGAUUUGUGGAUUGUGAAACUUUUACUCAAUCUUAUCCCCAGGCCGCACAACAUUUUCUUUAGCAAAGGUGUCUCUGUUGCUGAGAUUCUUACAGAUGGCUGGGAGUCGGCGCAAAGUACAUGGACACAUUGGUGCUAUAUUUUAAAAUUGUGAAACAGCAUCCAAGCUACUUGUGAAGGUGUCAAUUUCUGCAUUGAUAAAGAUUCAAUUAUACUUCUGAUGGGAUUUUUUUCUGGUAGCUAUCUGUACAAGAGAAUGAACUUGAGAAAUAUUAAUUUCUAGAUAAAUUUCUUUGGACAGUGAAGCUUCCCCUGAAAAUUAAUGUUUUUCAUGGCUGGUUUUGAAAAAUAAACAUACUUACUAAAGUCAAUUUAUUCAAACGAUGUUUUCAGGGAGAUAAAACCUGUCAAUUACGUGGUAGAGAUGAGAUUAUUGACCACUUAAUUGCUGGUUGCUAAGUUGAUCUAAACCAUUUUGCAAUGUGCAUUGAACUCGAAAACUCUACCUGAUACUGUUGUGACUUAUUUAGCUCUUGGUUGUUGUAUUAUGUAUUGUUCUGAAGGACAUUAGAUCUUCAGAAGAAACUCCAAUGCAUCGAAGAUUAAAAGAAAAUCAUGAAGACUCACAUGCAUAUUGUUCACCAGACUCAUCAAUGGCAUCAUACGACUCGUAAAACCAUCGACCUAAUCACAAAUCAGUCGCUGGUUGCAUGCCUUAGCACUAUCAGUUCCUUGCGGUGAUCGUGGUUACUGUUUGUUUGUGGUGCAGAGGAAUCAGUACAACAACAGAACUUGAAGCUGACAAGGAUAGAUGAUGGUUGGUUUUGGUGGAGAGAUCAGGUGCAUAUGAACAACCUAUUAUCUUCCAUUUUUUGUUUUUCAUCAUUCAACGGGACAAUUUCCUAAUUCUUUUUUAGUACUGUCUGGAAAGGUUAUUAGUACAUAUAGGUUUUGUCAAAAUUUAUUAGCACAUAUGAGGGUUUUUGUUUGGAUCCCCUUUGGCUCUACAUAAUUCUUUGGAGUGGGAUUCUAGAUAGAUGCUUUUAUUGAUUUUCUCUCAUUGCAACGUACGGGUAUGUUUACUGUAAUAAUAAAGUCAGAAGGAGAAGGGCGAGGUCCAGAUGGAGCUCUGCCAGUUCCGCCGCUUUCAUAUCUCGACUGUUGCUGCUAGCUCUACUCUGCUCAACGAUAAAUUCUGUGUGGUUAGUUAAUUUACUAGGUAAAUUGCAUAGCUCAGUAGCAUGCACACAUGAACGCUCAAGUUACAUGUUUGGCCAGCCAUUCCUUGGCAGCCUAUGGCUAGGCUUCCCAGCAGAUGGAGAUGCUCUGGUUCAGAAUCUUAUAACAUGAAUUAUUGAAUAUUACGCAUUGUUUUAAAUCAAUUUAUUGAGCUAGAGACAUAAAAAAAUUUAUGCAUUGUUUUAAAUCAAUUUAUUGAGCUAGAGACCCUCCUAGGUAAAUUAUGGAGAUGCUCUGGUUCAGAAUCUUAUAACGUGAAUUAUUGAAUAUUACGCAUUGUUUUAAAUCAAUUUAUUGAGCUAGAGACAUAAAAAAAUGAUUUUUUUAGUAACAGAGAGUACGUGUUGUCCUUUUUAGGGGAAGAGAUUUUUUUUAGGGAAGGGGAAGAGAGUACAUGUUGUCUGUGUAAGUGUCGAUCGAGGUCCAGCUUAGGCCAAGCCCAAAAAACAGUGCAAAAAACAAUUGCAAAUGAAAUAUAAUUUUCCAAAAAAAUGUUGAUCACCAUAAAAACGAUUCCAUUUUUUAGAAAUGUUCUCAAAAUUACAAAAAAAACACCACCUCAAAAAAUAUAUAUUCAUGUUUUUAUGAACAAUAAUAAGUAAGAUCGAUUUAAAGACUAUUCCACGUGACUACUCGUUCAUCGCAUGAAAGUGCGGAGCUGAAGUAGGUCUUCGGUCUUCAUGUCCGAAUUUUAUGGUCCAAAAUGCUAUGCUCAAUGUAAUUUUAUUUCCAACAUUUGCCAACAUUGGAUAUGAGAGGUGUUGCACAAUGCUAUGUUUUAAAUAUUUUCGCCCGUUGUAACGCACGGGCAUUUGUACUAGUAGUACUAAUCUAAGGGCCGGCCAUUACUGGGCACAGCCGGCCACAUGCACGACGCACACACACCAUGCUGCACAAGGCACACACAACACACAGGGCCAUGGCCAGCUGCAAGCACACAGAACACGCAGAACACACACACACACAUCACACGCACUCACGCACACACAACACAUAGUUAGGAGUUAAUUCUGUUAUCUGAACAUAGCAUUUUGCGAUUUUUAUAUGAUUUAAUCCAGGCAUCCAAGGGAUUUGGUCCAAUGGGAUAAAAUGGAGUUCGUCAUGCAAACUUUCUACUCAUAUUAUUUUUGCUGAUGUUAGCAGUUGGUUAGCCACUGUUUAGAGACAAUCUAGAAGGUUAGUCAUUGUAAAAAUAAGAAAGCUAGCUAGUAGUAUCUACCGUAGCAAGCACUACAUGCAGAGCAGCGAUGGAAAGAAAAGAAGCAGCAAAAGUGCAGCAGCACGCAGAGCAUCAGCGCGAGAGGCGCGUGGACGUCGCCGGCUAGCGACUGCGGGCACGGCCGGGGCGACCAAGGCGCGGGCGGGAAGCAUGGCCGGCGCGGCCAGCUGAGCAGUGGCAGGCAGCGCAGUAGCAGCUCUGCAGCAGCAACAGUGGCAGCCGGAGGCGAGUGGGAGCAGCACGCGGGCGGCCGAAGGCGGUGGGCACGCGCGCUGUGCGGAGGCGGGCGCGCGGCAGGUAGAGCUGGCGCACGGGCACGGCCAGGCGACGAGGCGAGGUGAGGCACGGCGGGACGGGCACCGGGUGCGACGAGCAGGAGGCGCAGGCGAAGACUACGGUGGUGAUGGCAACGAUGGCUACAGGCGACCAAACAAAGCGUUGGGAGAGGGGUUCCGUACGGGGGCUCACCGUGAAGGCACAAGGAAGCCCGUCGAGAGGUUAGGAGCUGCAGUGGCGUGGAUCGACACGACGGAGCUCUGGUGGCCGAAGACGAAGUCAAGGUCGAUCUGCUCGUGCUGGUGCGGCUCCAGUCGAUUUGCUCCUUGUAGGCGAAGUAGGAGACGUAGACGAAGCAGAAGGACAAACUCCUAGGCAUCAGGGAGCUCAGUGGGCGCGAGGGCGAUGGCGGCCAUGGCCAUGACGGCGUCGUGUUCGCGUUGGGAAGAAGAGAGCGACGCGAGGGAGAGGACGAAUUGAGCUAGGGUUCGUCGGGGAUGUUGGGGGCUUGGCCUUAUACUCCAACGUGACCGGGGGAUGGCCGGCACGCGCCAUGGCGCAGCCAUGGCCGGUCGGAUGUCGGCCACGAUCCCCUGCCUCCCUAUAGCAGGAGGUUGGGGAUGAGUAGGGGUGUGGUCUGGGCCUAAUUCACUAAUGCACUAGGGCCCAGUACCAAUAGUCCUUCUCAAUCAGUUUUCAAUUUUGCUAUUGAUUUCAAUUAGUUUGUCCACUAAAUAAACUUUGCUAUAUAUGUAACUUGGCACAUAAUUGCUAUGAAAUAAACUAAGACCACACGCAAGGUUUUACAUCAUUCAGAAAAGCAUAGAUAUUUUCUUAUUUUAAAGAGUCUAAAAUAAUUGUUGUUGGACCAUUAUUAACUUCCUAGGAAUUUAUCUGUGAGGCAAAUGGAUGUUGGUUUCUACAUGAAUAUUCCUUAGUGAAUAUUUGCAACCCAACGGACAUUUUUAUUUUACCGUUAGAAGAAAAAUAAUUUCACUUGCAAAUUAAAAUUUGAAUUUGACUUCAUUUUCAUCAAGUGGCAAAUUGGCUUAAUAAAACUAGAUGACAUGGCACAUUAGGAUGAGGUUAUUGUAGCUUGAUUAUCGGGGCGUUACACAAGUAACACUUUGAUCAUACCUUUUACUACCCAGUUUUAUUGCAUUAGAUCAACCCUCAAGCCAUUACAUGAAUGGGAUCUGAUUAAUAUGUGGGUUUUGGAAAGUAGACGAGGUAGUACCUAUUAUCUGUUUUAUUAUCAAACCCUGGGAGUUACUUCUACGUUUGUUUAUGCCAUGCUAUGCUUGUAGACGUGGAUUGGGUUUGAGUGUAUCCAUGACAGAUGUGAGAAUGUUAAUUAUUGGUUCGACUUAAGGUGGCAACUUUAAUACACAUCUGAGUGGAUUGAGGCAUCUGGGUAUUCCAGCGAUUGCCUAUUGUUUUUCUUUAUGGACCGCCACUUAGGCUUCAAUGGAUCAUGAGAUUAUUCAUACUAGAAACUUCCGUGUGCAGCCAGAAGCUACUAUGGGCUCUAGCAUAGUUGAUUAAGUCGUGCGAACUCUUACAGUGGUAGACUAGCAGAUGUAGGGGAAAGUAGGUGUAACGGUCUACCCGAUCUUAAGGUGCUAGCUAGCGCUUCUGAAAGACUAUAUCUCGGUCAUCCAUUUCUCAAACACCAUGUAGUGCGAGAAUCCCAACGGAGGAGACCGAGUCUUGUGGGGAAACGUGCACAAACCUCUGCAGAGUGUAUAAACUAAUCAUGGUUAGCCGUGUCCCUGGUUAUGGACGUCUUGAGUAUCUAGUACUUGGAUUAUCAUGUGAAUCUCAUCAUGUGACUUUAAUUAAUUUUGUUGGGUUUUAAUGAUGAUGUUUAAUUGGGAUUGAGAGGGUGUCUACGCUCUCAAUGUUUAACAACCACCCUGAUAGUUAAAUAAAAUUUAUUCCCUUACAGUAGGGAAAAACUGGUUUUAUGCAAAACUGUAACCAUAGAGCCUUCCACCAGCCAUAUAUGCAUGUAGUAUAGCCAAUUUCUGUUCACUACUCUCUAUAUGUUACAUUGCCAACAUAUUUCAUGUGCUGACUCGUUUUCGGACUGCAACGUUCAUGUUGCAGACUUUACAGACGACGAGUAAGGAGCCUUAGGUCAUGGUUCUAUACUCAGUGAUGCCGUUGGAGUUGAUGGACUUACUUAUCUUUCAAGCCUUCCACUGUUAUCAUUAUUAGAUGGCCUUAAGCCAUAUUAUUUUGUAAUAAGUUCUCUUUUGAGACAUUCGAUAUAAUAAGUGUGUGAUUGCUACUCUGUUAUAAAUCCUUCAAGUACUGUGCGUGUCAGCAUUACUGAUCCAGGGAUGACACUGAUGCAUAGAGAUCGGACCGUUUGAGGUCUGGUCGCUACAAGAUGGUAUCAAAGCACACGCUAACUGUAGGACACGACCACCACUACAAAAAAAUAAACUUCCGUGAUGAUACGUGUUUGUCACAGUAGGUCGCUUUUUUUGUUAUGCAUGUACAUACAUGACAAAUUUAUGACAGAAUCAAGAUAGUCAUACCUGUGCUGUCGUAGAAGUGUUCCAUGAUAUUACCAAAAUUAUCAUCACGGAAGUGUCCACUUCCAUGAUGAUAAAUCAUGCGUCACAGAAGUGCUUUAGUCAAGGGUGACCGACAUGUGGCAUCCACCGUAACGGAACACCGUUAAGCUAUCGGGUCGGGUUUUGUAUCCGAUAACCCGUUAACAGCCCCGACCAAUGGGAAAUUUCCACGUGUAAAAUUCUUAUUGGCCGGACGAAACACGUGUCAGCUCGUCAAUGGGUCAGAUAGGCGCCUAUGAUACGUCGACACGUGGCACGGCCCAACAGAGGCCCAUUCCUGUGAAAAGGCCGGCCCGUUUGACUUGGUCAAAAGGUGGCGGGCCGGCCCAUGAAAAGCCUGUUAACGGCCUGUUCGCAUAUAGCCCAUAUACAGCCCGCUAACCCAAGGCCCGUUACGCCCUAUCCGAAUUAGGCCUAGUAGCGUCAUCUGAGCCAUCCAAUAUGAUUCCAGCCCAUUUUCACUUCUGGCCCAUGUAUGGCCCAUGACGUCUUUCGGCCCAUAUGAGGCCCUAUGUAACUCUUGGCCUAUUAACGGCCCAUGGUGAAACUGACCCGUAAUGAACAGUGUGUCACUUUAUACCCAUUAAUGGCCCGUUAUUCCGUUAGGCCGUUUCCAGCCCAUGUUAUCUUUCGGCCUUCUUAGAGCCCAUUUAUUCUUGGGCUCAUUUCCAGCAUUCGUUUACUUACGGCUUGUUACUGUCAUUUUCUGCUUGUGGGCCAAAUUCAGCCCGUGGUUACAGUCGGCCCGUUUGUGGUCUGUUAUUAUGUUGGGCCGUUUUCAUAGCGUCAUCAAAUACGGCCUAUUAACGAUGGCCCGUUACGGUCGGCCCAUGAACAGACGAUUCCAACUCUAGCCCGUUUACGGCCAUAAUGCGGCAUGUUAUUGGCCCAUGUUUGGCCAAUCGAUCAUACGGCCCGUAUAAGGCCCAUUGAUGAUACGACCCGUAGAAGGCCCAUUGUUUCUACAGCUCGUAGAAGGCCCACUGUUUCUACGGCCCGUAGGAGGCCCAGUGUCACUACAGUAAAUAUUAUCCCAUGGUUAUUGUGGCCUACUUUUAAAAAAUAGGUUAUUACAGGCACUAGUUAAUCGCGGAAAAAGAACGGCAAUGGCUACAAGAAAACAAAUAAACAAGACAAAAAGGAAAUAAAUAAGCAAGCAACUAAUGCUAGGCUAUCACGGCUAUUACACAUAUUACAUCCACUGGGCAUCAAAGUUCGCCACCAGUGCAAAUAUAGGGAACAAAGCAACAUAUCAUAUACACUGACCGUCAAAAUUGGCCACCAGUGCAAAUAAACGCGACAGCAAAACAAGAGCAUAACUGAAACAACUUCAGAAGAGCUCAAGAAACGUUAUCCUGGUAUCCACCAUGCUGGCAAUAAGCUUAGCAAGCUGAUUAGCUUUGUCCUGUUUGGCGCUAAAAUCCUCCAAUGCUUGCUGUUGCCCCAGAAAGUAUGCAUCUGAAUGCUCCAGGGACUUCCGCAGUCCUUCCGCUUCUUGUCGCAGCACAGCUGAACGAUGUCUUUUAGCUUGUAGUUGAGACUCAAGAAACCGAACUGAUUUAGACAGUGAGUUUGAAUAGCUUGUGCAAGCGGUAGUGGCCAGUAACUCCAACACUAAACCAAGACAGGAUGUGUCACUAUCCCGAACCUUAUCUGCAUUACUUCCUUUACCGUCGCUUAAUAAGGCACUCUUCCCCAAUAUUCUGUCAGCAUUCUAAAAGAAGAAACAAGCAGCCACAUAACAAGUUUAGCAUGUACUAGUAUAUGAAACUCAUUUCGGUGAACCAGUUCAUUAGUAAGGUGGACAGGAUUAAACUACCAAGUCUUCUAUUGCCAAGUACUAGUACAUAAUAAAAGCAUCAAACAAACAUAUAUCUAUGUCCUAUGAUAGCAAUGGAAUCUUAAAUUAGAACAUUUGUUCUUCAGGUUUAGGCACUUGUUCUACAUGAACAGAGUACAGUAAGACGCAAGAAUAUAAUACUUAAAAAUAGAAAAUGAGCUCAUAGACCUUACCACAUUCUUGGUUCGGGACCAGUAUAGAACAAGGCGUUCCCAGUCAUCGUCCAGUAAAUGUGUCUCAGGAGAACGUAAGGGAAUUUGAUGAGUUUCUUUGCCGGUGAAGUACGUUUUCUUUAGGUAAUUCCGAUACUGCCACCAAGCAUUCUUGAAGAUAGCAGAGGUAUUAGCACAGGUUACCUCAUCCUGAGUUUCCAAAUUGGUCCUUCUCUAUAGAGAAAGAUGGGAAAAUUUGCUGUAUUAUAACCAUCAUGGAGGUAGGAUGUAUGGGACGAAGCAAAGUAAUUGCCAUGAAUAACAUUACUUACACAUAACUCCUGGACAAACACCUGCAACUGGCAUUUUCCUUCAUCUUCAGUAUAAUGUUUCCAAGAUGGGAAGAUACGCACAUAUGCUAAACUACGACUAGCUGGUUGUGCUUCCUCCACAGAAAUAGGCGUACUAACUGGUGAAGUUGGGGUUCGCCGUGAUAGUACUGGCCCUUUGGGCACUGGAGCUGCCUUACUAACUACUCUUGUAUAGGAGCUGUGUGGUGGAGAUGGUGCUGUGUCAAUAGGAACUGGGUUACUAUCGGCUGGGGUUGGGGUUAGAUUGGGUGAAGCUGGUUCUCUGUCCAUCGUAGUAGGGGUACAAUCUGUGAGAGUUUGGGUUAUGUGUGGUAGGGCUGGUUCUUGUGCAUGUACAACUGGGGUGCUAUCUCCAUCAAGAGGUAGCAUUGUUUUAUUUGAAGACCGUAUUUUUAGUCCGCUAGAUACUGGCAUCACCCGCUCCAAUUCAAAUGGCUGAUAAACAGGAAACAUAGUUGAAUGUACAGACAUUGUAUGAGAAACAGAUGCAAUAGAUAGUGUGGAAAAAAGAGGGCAUGAAAUAGUUGACAUGUAUAUUGUUUAACUAAAACGGAUAGCAUGACAUAAUUUCACAUAUAUGAUGUCUAUCUAAACUGGAUAGCAUAGCAUAACAUAAUUCAAAGAUAUGAUGAAUAACUAAAUAGGAUCGCAUGACAUAAUUCACCCACAUGUUAUCUAAGUAAUCAGGAUCGCAUCAUUUAAUUCACAUAUGUGAUUUCUAUGCUAAAUAGAGGGCAUUCGAUAUGAUGUCUGAACUAAGAACAUGGUGUUGAAGAUUGUGUAUAUAAUGUCUAAACUAUGCAAUGCAAGACACCGUAUGCAUGAUAUGAGCAGUAUAACCGUGCCAAGUUAGAGCAUACACCUCAGUGGGGGAAUAGGACUGGUCAUCUGUCUCUGAAUCCAUCUCCGAGGAGCUAUCGGGACUCAACAAGAGAUCUGCUUCGACAGGUAGCACUGUCUGCUCUAAAGGCCUUAUUUUCACUCCAAAUUUUUCCAUCUCCCACCCAAAUGGCUGAUUCUCAGGAAGAGUAGUUUAAUGUACAAACGUUGUCGACAAAUGGAAAUGUAAUGAAGAAAAGGAUGAGCAAGAUAUCAUUCAAAUAUAUGAUGCCUAGUUAAACAGGAUGACAUUGCACAUUUCACAUAUAUUAUGGCUGGCUAAAAGACAUGAGAGUGCAUAAUUUCCAUAUAUGAUAUAGAAACUAAACAGGUGGCAUUACAGAACAUGUCUAAACUAAGUAGAUGACAUAUAUGAUGUCAAAAGUAGGCACUUCAAGGCAACAUAUGCAUGAUAUGACUAACAUCAUCAUGCCAAGGUAGAACAAACACCUUGGGGGGUAAAUAGGAGUGGUCAGCGGUGUCCGAAUCCGCCUCAGAACAGAUAUCUUCCUCUGGAUUACAAUCUGGAGAGGGGUGGGGAGGGUUUGCCAUUGAACCCACCAUUGAGCGAUGUCUGCAUGACAUUGUAUUGCCGCGCAAAACUUUUCUCUUUUUCUCUACAUGUUCAGCAUGAAUGUGUACAAUAUCUGACGUGCAUACGAAAACAAUAUGGUGAGAUUAUGUAAGGAGAGCAUGCAGAAAUUUAGAGUGAUGGUAACAACCAGUGGAUCGAUGUUUUUCCAUUGAACCAAAAUAGCCCUAAUGGAUCGACGUGAAUGUAUAGUAAUAAGUGAUGCAACAAGUGUACAAACUCUUCACCAUAGCCAUGUCGACCUCUGCAUCAUUGGGUUGGUCGCUGAAGCAGUUGAGGCAGAGGUGGCUGUCGGAGGUGUGGAGGAAGAUCUGACGAAUCUGUAGACAGCGUCCAGGGCACUGCUCUGUUAUGAUGGAUCGUUCUGUCGUUGGAGCAGCUCCGGUGAGCCGUAAGACGUCAAGGCUGAAGCAGCACAAGACAGACAUCGUCAAUCUCAAGUUGGAUUCUAAUAGCAUCUCCAAUAGAUGAUGUAAAAUGGAUGUAAAAUUAACAUCACCAAAAACCACCUGACUACAACAGAUGAGGUAAAAACUGUUGACUCUGAACUUAACUGUCAAAACUGAAAUUUAUUGUACAAUCUGAAUGCUAUUGUCGAAACUGAACGCAAUGGUAGCAGAGAGGCACUUGACAUGUAGUUUAGGGAGGGCCUACAGUUCAUUUUCAACCUGCACCCCCCUGAGCCGCCAGCCACCAACCGGCCGAACCGCCGGCCCCAGCGCCGCCUCGCCGCCCCAAAACAACUCGCCACUGCCGUCCCGGCUAGCCCUCUAGCCCCCCCGCCCCCUAUCCUGAACCCUAAGAUAGAUAGUGGGGUACCUCUCCGGCGAGUCCCCAUCCUCGCUGCGGGUGGUUCUUCCUUAAAUCCGGCGAGCCCCCCCCAACCCCUAAAAAUCGACUGAUCCAAAAUUCGAUUCAGUCGACUGAAGUGUGGCUUAAUCAAAGUAGAGCAGCAGCACGAGCGAGGGGGAGAGCAGCAGCAGCAGCUGGGCGAGCGAGCGAUCGAGCGAGAGGCGGAGCAGCAGCAGCAGAUUCGGCUGGUAUGGACGCCACCACCGAAGGGGCCUCGCACUGGGGGAGAGCCUCCGUGGAGAUGUCGCCCGCGGCGCCGACUUCAAAGUAGCCGCUCCAUGGAGGUGCGGGAUGGAGCACCAUCGGCGCCGGGAGGUCGAUUAAAGGAGAAGGUGCGAUGCGAUGAGUGUACAACCUCUUUGGUGGCGCCGAGUAGGCCUCGGCUUCGUCCGAGGAGUCGGUGAGGAUGCUGCGGUUCCGGUGGAGCAGGUUAAGGCGGCGCUGUGGGGAUGGAGCAGCCGCGAUAGACAAGGCGAUCGUCGGAGCAACUCCUUGGAGGUGGAGGACGGGGCGGCUGAACCGGCGGGACGACGAGAUGGACGACGGAUCCUCAUCCGGGGAGGUGGACGAGGGACGUCGAGCUGUUGCAGUGGACGACGUCGUCGGGGAAGAGGCUCCGGCUGGGCAGCGGUGACGUGGCGGACGGAGGAGGGUGGGGUUUCGCGGGUGGAGCGGAGAGGUUAUGGCGGCCUGGGAUUUCGAAUGGCGAAAAGGGGGCGAUGGGAGGGGGUGAAGCAUGACUUAGGAAUGCGUUUGUCCAAAAUAUAGGGUGAGUUACAAAAGUACCCCCCACCGAUUUGAACUAGCGGCCCUUUCGGCUCAGGGUUAGAAGGGGGAUUUCGUGUAUCGGGAUUUGGCAGCUGAAGGGAGUUUUCGCGCGCGUUGUAAUUUCGGGAUAGCAAGGCGUGGGUUGUGAAGGCGCUAGUUUUGGGAGCACGAUAUCUGAAUUUUCGGGAUAUAACAAGAUGCGGGUUGAAUUUUAGGGACAAUCCUAACAUGUAGUAAUAUUGUACUUGUACGUACCAAAUCAAUUCGCACUUCCCUCAACCAAAAAGAAAACGAAAAAAAUAAAACUAUUCACACCACACAAAGAGAGAGUCUUGCCCCGUUUUACUAUACAAAUGCUAUUCAAAGCUACUCCCUCCUUCCAUCUAUAUAGGGCCUAAUGCGUUUUUCGAUGCUAACUUUGACCAAAUAUUAGAGCAAUGAUAUAUGACAUGCAACUUACACAAAGCACACUAUUAAAUUCGUCUGUGAAAGUUUCUUUCAAUGAUAUAAUUUUCUAUUAAUCUUGUCAAUAGUCAAAGGCGGUCUUAAAAUCUCAUUACGCCCUAUAUAGAUGGAAGGAGGGAGCAUGAAUCCAUGUUAUGUCCGAUUAAAAUUUUUCGCUUGCUGUAUAAUGCAUGUAACCUACUCAUACCAACAUUUUAGUGCAUUCCAAAUGUCUAUACUACCGCUGCAAUUCGAACUAAAUUUGAAUUCGUUUCUCUAUUUCAAUAAGAAUCUACAAUCAUGAUUGUUGCCAACUUCGACCAUCAUAGUUUCCUUGCUACCCGCCAGAUAUAAAUCAGACGGCCUAUAAUGCAGGAUGGCAGGCACACCAUCGUCAACAACUCCGUUUUUAUAAGAGUAGAGAUAAAAUAUAUUAAAUGUAGUAUACCAUGUUCAUAACCACACCAUGUGUAUCACCGUUAUAUAUAUUCACACAUCCAUCGGUUUGAAACACUAUGAUAAAUUCUUCAAAUAUCUGAAUUCGCUUUUUAUAAUGAAGUAUAUAUGAUCUCUAUUCGUCUUUUACACGCACACAACCCUCUUAUCUUUGUAGCUAGCGCCAACUUUCUCUUGUGCAUGCACACGCCCGCAUCCCUCUCACCCACCCUCAGCAUUCUCUAGCUCCAUCGCGCAAAUUCGUCUUUUCACUUUAGGUCGUUCACCCACGGUGUGUGUAGGCCCCCCAGCUCCUUCUUUACGACACACAUUGAUCGAUAUGCCUCUCUAGCCAGGUGUGCCUAACACAAACACAAGCUUCCCCUCUUCUCUUGUCACCGUCCAUGCCUCACUCCCACCACUCUUUUCAUCGUUCUCGUACUCGCACACUCCUCCCCCUCGAUAUAGUAUGCCUCUCUUACCACCUCCUACAUGCAUCCCUCUCUCUAUCCUUCUCCUUGUGCCUCAUUUGCUUCUAACACACACAUGCAUGUAUACCGAUCGAUCUCCCAACAUAUACCUAGAUCGACUUUAACUACCCCCCAUCGAUCGAUGUACCUCACAAGUUAUGUCUCUCCUUUCUCUUACAAAGGGCGAUUGAUCUUCCUAUGUAGUUACGUCUGCUUACCACAGCCACAUCGUCCCCCCUCAUCAUUCGUGCAUGCCUCCUGACCUGUCUCUCACAUGCACGUGCACAAACAACAAGCAUCCAUCUCCUCUCUUAUUGAUAUUGCGGGUGUGCCCUCCGUUUGUCUAGCAAGCCUAUCCCACCAUUUGUUAGAAGCAACUCCAUUACCAUCCCCUCCAACACUCUAGCUCUGUCUCUCUCCCAACCUUAUUCAUCUCCUACACAUAUGCAUGGAUGCAGAUCGAUCUCCCUUAAUACAUGAGGCAGAUCAAUCUCCUUAAUACAUGAGGUAGGCCUCUCUCCUCCUCCACACAUAUACCAGCCAUUGUACCUCUAUAGUUAAUUGGGCCUCCCUCUUCCCCCACCACACACUGAUAGUCGAGCGCUGCAGGUAGGUAUCCAUGCCACAGAGACAAACUGCACAUGUCCCAUCUAACGUUCCAGUAGGCCAACCACUCUAUAUCUUUGACGUGGGCACACACAAAUUCGAUGGCACUCUUUAUCGAUCGCGCGCGCACACACACACACACAUCAUCCCUCUCUUCGAUUCUAUGGACACCUCAAGCCGAUGAUACCUCCACUCUCUUCUCGUGGAUCGCCCCCUCUAUAUAUAUGUUAUAUCCAGGACUCCAUUUCACACACAUUGCAUAUGUUAAAUUUUUUGAUUGCCCUCCCCCACAAAAAACUCUCAAGAACCCACACACUAUAUCUCUCUAGGUUUGUAUCUCUCUCACGCAACCCCACAUAGGUGGUGUACAUAUACAAGAAGAGAGUAGGUGCACCAUGCACGUACUCAUGCUUCGUGCCCAGCCACACCCGCGCGGGUACACGGUAGAGCUCAUUUCUUAACGAAAUGGCAGCCCACGUGCUAAUCUGAACGCAUGUAGCGGUUGUUUACCUAGGGAGGUCGUGUACCGUGCGUGCACGAAACAAAGUUCGACUUGACGCGUUGCCGCGUUAUUUUAAAAUAAAGUUAUAGCGCUCAAUGGCACGUACACAGAAUAUAAAAUGAUUUUUAUGGAGGAAAAGGUAGUCCGCUCUUCAGAGUAUCUCACACAAGGCCCCGGUGGCCUCUCUCUCUCUCUCAUCGUUGGUCACUGUUCUAGCCGCAUCCCGUCCGCCAGGGGAAAGGGAGUGCGGUGGCCUCUCUCUCUCUCACCGUUGGUCGCUGAUUCGGCCGCAUCCCGUCCGCCGGGGGAAAGGGAGUACGGUGGCCUCUCUCUCUCUCACAGUUGGUCACUGAUCCGGCCGCAUCCCGUCCACCGGGGGAAAGGGAGGAAGUGCAUCGUUUCUCUGUUCGACGGCGCCGAGGCAGCACGUCCUGAUCUGCGGUACAUGCCGUUCUCUCUGACCAAGCUCCGGCGCGGCAGGGCCUACGCCACCUGCUCGCAGAUUCUGCCCGCCUCCGCUCACCUAGUUACAUCCCGACGACCUCCAGGUAUCCCCUCUGGCCUUGCUCCACUGCCCGUUUUCCCACGUCGCUGCAUGUGGAUCUUCCAUAGUUCUUUGCCCAAAACGUAGCUCGUUCGGCGUACUUUCCAUAUUGCAUUCUCGUCCUCACACCGUUUUAGACAAACAUAACCGUGUUGUUAUCUUCCCUUAGGACAAGGAAUAUGCUUCUUUUUUGUCGUCACAUGUGCCAUCAACUGUUAUUGGCCAGUAAUUGUUUCCUUUCUACCUCUUUUUUGCAAACAGGGCUAUCCAUUUCACGUCGUUGCUAUUGCGACCUUUUGGUGAACUGCACAAAUCACUUUUUUCUUAAGAGUGUUUUGUGCAGUUGUACUAAAAUGUCACACGGGCAACGCCUCUACAUUUCAGUGCAACUGCACAAAGGGAGAUUGGUUUUGCUCUAUCCUCCUCAUCCAACUCCGAGCCUAAUCUUCUCCAACUAGUUAGUCUUAAGAGAGACUGCAAAGGUGACCGGCUUCUAUUUGUGUGUUUAUUGUUUCAUCAGCAGUCCUCUAUUAUCGUAAUCACACUUGAUAUCUUUGGAACAGGGACGCUCAGCUCUAUUUUAGUGGAACUGCACAAAAUGAUCGGAAUGUUGCAUGCUCCAGACAGCUACUUUUUUUCCCAACAUGCCUUGUUGAUUUAGACAGAGCUGGGGGAUGUUGCUGCCAAUGAAAGCAUGGAUCAAUUUUAAUUUAACACCUUCUCACAACUUUGUCUUCAGUUGUGAUGUAAUUAUUAGCUCUGAUCUGCUAAUAAUUGACAUGCAUUAGCAAGGAAGUUAGUUUUUUAUUGUUUCUGAAAGAGCGUCGAUGGCAAGACACGCAAAACAAAAGCUAAAAGCUCACACCAUUGUACAAUUUCAUGUCGCUGGAAAAUUAUUUGUAUAGUACGUCAAUUAUGUAAACAAAUGAUGGAAGCUUGAUAGCAUUACCAGAAGCCUCUUCAUCAUUCGGGUCCAUGUGCCAUGCACAAAAUUAUACUCCUUCGUUCCUAAAUAUUUGUCUUUUUACAAAUUUCAAAUGGGCAUAUUUUAGAGUGUAGAUUCACUCAUUUUUCUUCGUAUGUGUACUCCCUCCGUUCCUAAAUAUUCUAUUCAUCUUAACAGAGAUUUCAACAAGUGACUACAUACGAAGCAAAAUGAGUGAAUCUACACUCUAAAAUAUGUCUAUAUACAUCCGUAUGUGCCAGUCCAUUUGAAAUAUCUAAAAACACAAAUAUUUGAGUAGUCACUCGUUGAAAUCUCUAGAAAGACAAAUACUCCGGAGUAUAUUUAAGAACCGAGGGGGUAGUGCACAACCGCAUGGGAGACUCAGCCCGGUCGUUGCGCCGCAUUAAUAGUGAGUAAUGAGUAGUCAAAUCAUAAGCCCCACCUUUCCCACUGUAAGUUGCUCCGAAGAAGCAAGCAUCAAUACGCUCUUCUUUGAAUCCGCUCAUACUACUCCAUCCGUCACUAUUUAUACAGCGCGCUUCGGAAAAAAGAAAAAAAAAUCUGUGGGACCAAGGCGACUAGCAAUCGGCCUGAAAAAUAGCAUUGGUAGUUAUAGCACGGCGUCUAUUACUAGAGGAAAUAAUGCGUAUACACAUGCAUGUAGUGCUUCCACCCCGGGUACACACAUGCAUGCACUCCGUAGUAGUACAGUACAUGGAGAGAAAAUUGUGGACUUGAUUGCGGUUACCAUGCCCUAAUUAAUUGAGCAUUAAACCACACGCGUCUAAAGUCUCUCUGGUGGUGGAAAUGCAUUGAGAGAAAUGCAUCAUAAUGAAGCGCGCCGUGUAAACUGUGACGGAGGGUGGAGUAGUAUGAAGGUGCAAAACCAAGUACGCGUACUACUGCGCUUGGCUCUUCGCCCCUUCGUGAAGUCGAACGAUGAUGGUAGUCCGCAUGUUGGGUACUACAGUGUAGGACUUUGCCUCUGACAAUCUGACACCGAAUGGACUGAUGCAUGUCCACCGAGGGUAGGUUGCAUUAGUCAAAAGGCGUAAGUGAGCUUCACCUUGUCCUGCAAGCUUCUCCUCAUUUUGCGAGUUGACGGGACACACCAAAAAGUAGUGCUAGUCCAUACUCCCUCCUUUUCGGUUAAUAUGGCUUAAUCUUUUUUGCGGGUAAAUGAGAGAGCUUUAUUCAUAUAUAAGCAUUCUUAGGACAAUCAGCCAAGACACUGGUCACUAGGAAGCGAGGUACCCCGCAAAAAAAGAAGUAGGAAGCGAGGUGUUUCAUCAAGCCAGCUCUCGGCCACAUUCAAAGUGCAGCAAGCACGGUUCGCAUGAAGAUGUGCCGCAAGGUUUGCUGACUUGUUUACAUGCUGAAUAACAAAAAAAGAGGAAAUAUUACUGAGCGCUACUAUUUGUAACAGGAUAUGAGCCAGAAUUAAGCGAGAAUUGUGGCGAGUGUUCCAUGCAAUCAACUUCCAUUAUCACGUGCAAGAACCCUAGAAGAGAACCAAAUGUGUUGAAGAUUGCUUUAUCACAUUUUAAAAUUAUAAUAAGAGUGCAGACGCUCCUCCAUCUAGUUCCUAGUACUAGUAUAGUACGUACCUUUAUGGACUAUAGUAUUAGUACUAGUAAACUUUGGGCUUGGCUGUUCGGGAAGUCGAACAAUAAUAGCACUAGUAGUAUAGUGUAUGCUUCUGGCAAUCUGACACCAAAUUAACUGUUGCACGUCCACCGCCUGAGCCAGGGAGAGCUUGCAUUAGUCAAAAGUUUCUCCUUGUCCUAUUAGCCACCGCGUGCAAGCUUCUCCCAUCCUGCAACCUUCUCCUCGUUCGGCAAGUUGACGGGACACAACAAAGUAAUGCUAGUCCAUGCUGCCUCCUCUCCGGUUAAUAUGGCUUAAUUUCAAACGAGAUAAAUACACUGUCUGUCACUGUAUAUUUGUAAAAAUACGGUCAGUGGACUUCAUAAUACGCUCAUUGCGCUCAAUAUAUAUAUUUUCCGGUGUUCAUACGGUCACUAGCUCAUCCUGACUGAGUAUGUGUGUGCAUGCACGUGUAGGUUGAGCACUUGAGCGUGACUAUGUGUGUUCCGUCGUGUGCUCAGACAUGCAUGCAUUAGGGCGUCGUGCAUGUUUUUGCGUCCAUGUGUACGUGUGACUGUUGCAUACACGUAGGGGGAGUACGUGUAGGGGCCACUAAGGAGUAGUCAAAUCACAUAGUAAGUUAGUCGGAAGAAGCAACCAUCAUUUCACUCUUGUAUGACACGUACGCAAUAUAAAAUGGUUGAUAUGGAGAGAAAAAGAAAACCACUAUAUAUACACUAGCAGGAGCCUAAGCUACAAGCCUGCUUGCUUAGGUUGCUCUCUUCACAAGCAUAGAACGACGGGUCUGAUCCCGCAGCUGGGGGAAGGGAACAAUGUUCUUCGUAGACGCGUUCGACAUCGGUGAGGGAGAAAAACCACAGUCGGUGCAUCCCAAUCGGGGUUCACCGUGGUAUGGGCCGAUGCCGCAUCCCAACCGCCCUUCUAGCUAUAGCCCGACGUCCCAGGUAGUCCAUCUUCCUUUUGGAGCCGGCUUGCUCCACUGCUGUAGCUCCAUCUCCAUGUCGAUCUUUCUCUACUUCUACCGGCUUCUAUUUGUGAUGAGUUUGUCUCAUGAACUAGUGCCAGUACUAUUAUUCUAAUCAUACUUCUUCAAUAUCUUUGCCAUCAGGGAUGCUCAGGUCGAUUUUAGUGGAACUGCACAAAAGCAUUGUAUGAUCCGAGGGUGCCAGCUGUCUUUCCUUCCCGACAUGGAAAGUGCUAUGGAAUAAGAGGUACCAGAAGGUGGAGAACCAAAGAGUGUUGCUUCUAUUGUUGCUGACAUUCCCACUAAAGAAUCUCCCUCUAGCACAUUCCUUCGACAGGUUCUACCUGGCCAGGAAAUUAAAUCAUGUUUAGGGUUUAGGGUUUAAGUCGUAGUGACCCCAUCAGUAGUUUUUCUAUCGUACACGCUCUCACAACUUUUUUCUUUAGUUGUGAAGUAAAUAUUGGCUAUGAUCUGUGAAUCAUUGAGAUGCAUCAGCAUGCGUGUUAGUUUUCCUUUGUAUUUGAUGGAAUGUUGUAACGGGGCAACCUUGGAAUAGGAAUGAAAAUGGAGUGGAAAAGUCUCCGUUUUUCCGGAGAAAAAAUGGAAACGGAGAGAAACCAACAUUUCGUUUCGUCGGAUCGCGCCAUCGAGCAACACCAACGUUUAAAUCACGUCUGUCGUGUUCGUGUCUCACCCUCCUCCACGGCUCGACCCCACACGGUCGCUCGGCAUGCCACUCACCGUAAACCGAGUAGUAUACCAUAACUUUCUCGCCUGCUUGUCGAUGGAUCGCACCAUGGAGUACUAGCACUACUGGAAGAGAUUGACGAGUUGGGGGAGGACAGCUAGCUGUAGCACGGACUCCCAAGAACUUACUACUGGAAGAGAUCGCGCAUGUUGUAGCCGUCUAUUGCGACCUUUGAACGCGGAGCAGCCGCGUGCACCCGGAAGUGGCGCGGGCGAUGCUCUCUCGGCCGGUGCGCCGCAAUCAAUGCCGGCGCCAGUGAGAGGUUGCAUUCGCUCUGGCCGGGCAUGAAUGCGGCACAGACCGUUUCGGGCGGGAAGCACGCGCGGGUGAUGAAGAGGGUUCGGGUUGGUCAGGACCGGCCGUGGCAGCGGUACGAACAUGCGCAAACAAGAGAUGUUGUACGUUAAUAUUGCUGCGUAUAUAAUUAACAACAUAAAUAAUGUGCCAGUUGGACAAAUAUGAUUGGAGAUGGAGAUGGAAAUGGAAUUUUACGUAAACACGGAUAUGCAUGUCUAUGUCUAUGUGUGUGUGCGCGACGACUCUCGUGACUUGGAAGCGGGGGCGUGUUUUUAUCGAGUUUUCUUUCUUGGUACGUUAGAAAAUCAGUUUGUCUAAUUCACAUCUAGAUGUUAUUAAGGAUAUCACAUCUAAGCUCCCACAAGUAUAUAAUGUAGCAACAAGAAACAAAAAAAAACUAGGAAAAGACCACAAACAGAGUGGACAUCAACUUAUAUGUGACAUAACUAUGUCACAUCUAGAUGUGUCCAAGACAGACCCUUAAAAAUUGUCCGCCAGUUUUCGUUUCUUUUUUCCGCGAACGCGCGUAUUCUAUUUAAAACCACUGCUAUGGAGAGAUUUUUUUACUCCAUUAUAGCCUCUUGUUUGAUAGAGUUUCUCGCGUCUCGCUCUCUCACCCUCUCCAUAUCAAAACAAGAUGACAGUGUCCACUCUAUCUCUCUCCUCACCGGUGUUCACAGAUCCGGCCGAAUCCCGUCCGUUGCGGGAGGUGCAGAGGUGCAGCGUUGACGUUGUCGCCGUCGGUGACGGAGGAAGCCGAUGCGCACCGUCCUCUUGGAGCCGGCGCUGGCGCGGACGAAGAUCCUCCACGCCCUUGUUCGCUGCCGUCGUGUGGGAAAAUCCCGCCUGCCUGCCUAAACGACAUCUCACCCACCUGAGGUAUAACUUCUUUUACUGGUCCAGCUCCCCAGGUCGCUGCGUGCGGCUUUUCUUCUAUGCGACUACUCCCCAGCUCCCCAUGCAUAGUAGCUAGGUUUCGUCGGCUGGUCCAACAUCACCUACUAGUACUAUUAUAGAGGAAAUGCCACUCAAAAAGUUGUCCUGAUUUAUGCCUCGGUGGAGGUAUACAUGUUGUUUCGACAAAAAGUACAUGGUGGUUGUGCGAUCAUUGUCCAUAUGGUGCUAGUACUAUCACUGGUUAAAUGAAGAAAUGCUUUUUUUCUUGGGUAUCCUGGUUUAGUUCCCAUCAAGAUAAUUAUGAUGCUUCUGUUUGUUGGUGUACUUUUCAUUAAUUCUUAUCGACAAUUGAGAUGUCGUUGCUAACCCUUUUUUAUAUUUUUGGAAACAGCGAUGCGUGUCUCCAUACCCGGGAAUGUCUACCUCAAUUUUAGUGGAACUGCACAAAAUUGGAUGGCCAUUGUUGUUCCACUUCACUGUCCUCUGCCACGUGGUUCUUCCUUCCUCAAGCUUGAUUACUGAGAAGAAACAUACCACAAUGAGGAUUUGUCGAACUUCUUAGGUGCCUCACCCAAACUUGAUGCCAAAUGGAUGAUGCAUCACCACGAUGACCUAUCGAUGCACAUGGUUGCGCCUCAUGGUUGCGUCAGCUAGUGAAGCUGAUUAAUUUUCGACGAAAAACAAGUUGUCUUCCAUCAGUGCUCUUUGCUUGUUACGCACAAAGAUGAUAUCCUUCGUCAGUUCACCUUGGUUGCGUUGGAGACGCAGUCGUCUUUCACGUUGGUGCAAUUUUCGCUAGGGUUUUACGACAGGUGGGCCCAAAAUGUGGCUGGCUCACCUGUCAUACAGCCAAAAGCAGGUGCAGUGAAGGCACUGGAGCUCAGUCCAUACUACAGUAGUAUAUAUAUAAGCGGGAGCCUCAGCGCUUAUUCACUAGGGUUUGCACUCUCCACACGCUCGCCGCACUACAUAUAUGUUACACGCUGGAGGCUCAGCGUUCAUUUGCUAGGGUUUGCUAUAUUCAGUCUCUCACCCUCUCUUCACCAGAUCUAAACAAGACUGCGUUGGCCACUUGUCUCUCUCUCCCCCCUCACAGCUGGUGAAGGAGGCGUCCGUAUCCCGUCGCACCAGGAAGGGGAGGAGGUGCAGCGUUCACUAUAUAGCCUUCGGCGAGGGAGGCAAUCCACUGCCGGCUGCGCUGUUCUCUUUCACCCAGCGCCUGUGCGGGAGGGCCACCGACCCCUUCUUCCUCACUGCCGUACGUAGUGUGGGCAGAUCCGGCCUCCCGCCGCAUGCCUUGCCACAUCCCGACGACCCUAAGGUAUAAGUUUCUUUGAAACCGUCGUUACUCUAGCUGCAUGUGGAUCUUUUUCGAUCUGUAGUCGAAUCUAGGUCUUGGUUCAAAGAGGAAAGAAGGGUGCGGUGGGAUGGAGCAAGAAUCUAGGACGUGGUUCAAUGAGGAAAGGAGGGGCGGAAAGUAGUAUAGACUGGCUAUCCAGCCGCUUUGUAGGUCGAAAAGGGAAAAAGGGGGUAACCCAGUACACACAUCUGUCAGGAACCGAUCUCUUUGUUGAAAAGGGAAAGAAACUGGGGGGGGGGUAGUUUGUGCACGACUAGAUUUGUUGCCCUCACAUAGGAAGAAGGUUCAAAGAGAACAAAUAUGGGACCAGCGCAUAUAUGCUGCUUGGCUACAUACUCUACAUCACCCAUUUAUACGUGUGGACGGACAUGGUGCUGGCAUGUCCCAUGCAACUAUUUUGCUGUUGUUAAUCUUAGAAUUAACUACUGAUCUGUUUUAAAAGAAUUUCUCUGUUAAUAUGAAUCAAUGCAACCGUUUUAGAAAUGCUACUGUCCUAUACUUUGUUUUCCAUCAAGAUAAGGUAGAUGCUUCUUUUUGUGGCCGCAUGUUUCAUCCUCCUUUAUUGGCCAGUAGUUGUUUUCUUUUUUGCCUCUUAAAACAUGGAUAUCUAUUCAACUUGUUGCUAUAGAAAACUUAAAUGUCACACCGGCAACUUUGCUUGAUUUCAGUGCAACUGCACAAAACGAGAUUGGAUUUCCUAUUCGUGUUGGUAGAUUCGUAUUUUAUGUUGGUCGUCUCAUGAAAGGUCAGUACAGGCAUUCAUCCACAUGAUUGUGCAGCGUGCUUUGAGAUGCUGUGCUACUUGUAUUGGUACUGUUUUAAAUAAAUGAUGAAUUGAAGCUAUUGUAUUGCUGUCUUUUCCCAUUAAGUAGUGAACAAAAAUGGGACCAACCCAGACAUGAUGCUUGUUGCUUUGUUACAACAAAUUCAGCAUCACCCCCUUUAUAAGCCAGUAAUUGAUGCCACUCUCAGAAUUAACUACUGAAUCUUAUUUCAAAACUACAACACUUGUUAGGGAUUGGCGGGAUUACCAUUUUUGUGGCCGCAUGUUUCAUCCUCCUUUAUUAGCCAGUAAUUGAUUCCUUUUUUGCCUCUGUUUAUACAGGGAUAUCUAUUCAACUUGUUGCUAUUGUGACAUUUUGCUUCGCUACGUGAAACACUUUGCUUGAUUUCAGUGCAACUGCACAAAACAAGAUUGGAUUUCCUAUUCGUGUUGGCAGAUUCGUACGUGAUCUUGUGUGCGUCAUGAUAGGUUGGUACUUGCCUUCAUCCACAUGAUCGUGCAAUGUGUUUUGAGAUGUUGUGCUACUUUUAUUGGUACUAUUUUAAAUAAAUGAUGAAUUGAAGCUAUUGUAUUGCUGUCUUUUCCCAUUAAGUAGUGAACAAAAAUGGGACCAACCCAGACAUGAUGCUUGUUGCUUUGUUACAACAAAUUCAGCAUCACCCCCUUUAUAAGCUUUGUCGUUCUUUAUACAUGUUGAAACAAGGCAUUGUUAAGAUAAUGUCUCAGUCAAUAUGAAUGAAUCACACCGAUGGAGAAUUGCUACUCUCAUGCUUUGUUUCCCAUUAAGAUAAAGUAGAUCAGUAGAUGCUUUUCUUCUGGGAGUACAAGUCAUCAACCGUUAUUUCUUAGUAAUUGUUUCCCUUAUACCUACUGUUGCUUACAGGGAUAUCAAAAUUAAAGCUCGGUUUUAUUCCGACUUCGAUUUUAGUUGAACUGCACAAAAGGAGCCAAUGUGUAAGGCAAACUGCUGCAUUACUGGGUCUAGUUGGUCGUUCCACUUUGCAGAAAGAAGCAGUCACUGUUUGCGCUACUUUACAGAAGGAAUGACCGAGAAGCUUUACAGAGUAUUAUUAGACACCGGUGACAUGACUAGUCUGCAGAGACCAUUGGCAAUUUAACAACACAUGGAGUGCCCUGAGCAAAAAGUGCCCAAACAAGUACAAAAGCUACGACAGGACUCCACGAUCAUAGGCAUUACAUAAUUUGAAUGGGAAAAGCUUGUCAAAGUUUAAUCAUUGAUGUUAGCAAGAAGACGUUAGUUUAAUAUAUUGGAAUUGGAAAACCUUGUCAAAUUUUGCUGAUUGAUGUUAGCUAGAAGACAUGCAUUUGAUAUUUUUGAGUGGGACGCCCUUGCUGUGAGCAGCGUCGAGUGUUUUUUCCUAUUCCUGUGUUCAGUUUAGGAGUAAAUAGUUACUCUGCUGAGAUAUUCCUGUGUUAAGAGUUUGUUCUGAAUAUUGUCUAUGUAAUGCCAGGCCUUGUGUUUGAUUGCAAAGUUGAGCUUGGAAUGUUGUGGCAUGCGGCAUCACGAGUUGUUCAUCGUGCCUCCUGAGAAUAAUGGCUUCAUAUCGUUUCGCAUGUCGAUCUAAUGCCAGUGAUUUGCUAGUUAAGAAGAUAAUCCUCUUCUGUUGUUUCCGUGCUUAAGAAGUUCAUCGUCUGAUGUUUCAUUCAUAGCCUAUACGACAAGUCGGGUAGGUUAGACGUGAAACCAUAUGAUCUUCCGACCGACUCAUGAUAUUAGGCCGUGAUUGGAUCGUCGUUUUCCAACCAAAACUGCUUGUAAAACUGACGCUUGUAAAUUAAAGCCGAUGGUCUCGGGCGAAGGCGCUUGGUUGGUCGAUUUCGACUAGUAAAAUAUCGGAAGUACUUGACACAUGAUAAAAACACUGAACGACACUCAGACGAUUGCUAAUCUAGCCGUUAGCUGCUAUUUCAGCCUUGCCCAUGGAUGGCAUGAUACGCACGUCGUGCAUGUAUCGUCUGGUAAUGUCGUCCAUAUAGCAGUGCUCGUAAAAUAUACACUGGUCUCUCAACUUACACGCGUAACCCGCCGACCUCGGGCCCUCGGUUUCAUUACGCCUGUAUUUUACGCGUUGUUUUCGAUGACGAGUAAAUUACACUUGUAUGUUAAUACAGGUUUGAAAUAAACCAGAGCUCCCAAGCGCGGCCUUACCGUUUCAUGCCGUCUUAGUUUCUCGAAGGUGCUCAUAGGUGUCCGAUAAUCCUGGCUUCCUGAAUGAGUAGCGGGCGUUGUAUCAGACCAUCCGUAUGGCCCGCGAGGCCCUCUCCGUUGUCCUUCGAGUUGUUGCGCUCGCCGUGGCGUCGAGCAUUGUUAACAUCGUCAACGAACAUGAGGAUUCAGGAGAUGACUUUAUUUUGACUGGAUGACACUAGGGACCCACUAGGGCCAUAGCCGUACGUACGCAAGUGCCUCCUCAUUAUGUACAACUAUAUAUUUUUUGCUUUCUCCUGGUUUCCUGACAUCACGGUCCCACACCAUUGUCAACCUAUGUAGUUAAUAUAAACGAGAGAAUUGCACAAGGCACUACUGGAAUCAGCUCAUUUGCCAUCUGCCAGCUCUUUGCCGUCAGCUAGCGGACGGCAAAGAAGCUCUUUGCCAUCAGCUACCCAAAAGCAGACGGCAAAGAAAUGGCAGACAGCAAAGAAGCUCUUUGCCGUCCGCGAGCUCUUUGCAGUCUGCCAGCAGACGGCAAAGAAUCUUUGCCGUCCCCUGGCAGACGGCAAAGAGAGAGGUGGCCCCCACCCCCCGCCCGUUGGAAAAAAACUUAACGGCCCACCUCUUUGCCGUCUGCCAGCAGACGGCAAAGAGGCAAAAGGGCGGACGGCAAAGACAGGCGGACGACAAAGAGGACACCAGGUAACGGCCCGUACCCCCCGCCCGUUACUCUCUGUUCUCUCCUCGCCGACGCACCCCGCCACCACUUCCCACCCCACCGUCGCCGCCCCNNNNNNNNNNNNNNNNNNNNNNNNNNNNNNNNNNNNNNNNNNNNNNNNNNNNNNNNNNNNNNNNNNNNNNNNNNNNNNNNNNNNNNNNNNNNNNNNNNNNNNNNNNNNNNNNNNNNNNNNNNNNNNNNNNNNNNNNNNNNNNNNNNNNNNNNNNNNNNNNNNNNNNNNNNNNNNNNNNNNNNNNNNNNNNNNNNNNNNNNNNNNNNNNNNNNNNNNNNNNNNNNNNNNNNNNNNNNNNNNNNNNNNNNNNNNNNNNNNNNNNNNNNNNNNNNNNNNNNNNNNNNNNNNNNNNNNNNNNNNNNNNNNNNNNNNNNNNNNNNNNNNNNNNNNNNNNNNNNNNNNNNNNNNNNNNNNNNNNNNNNNNNNNNNNNNNNNNNNNNNNNNNNNNNNNNNNNNNNNNNNNNNNNNNNNNNNNNNNNNNNNNNNNNNNNNNNNNNNNNNNNNNNNNNNNNNNNNNNNNNNNNNNNNNNNNNNNNNNNNNNNNNNNNNNNNNNNNNNNNNNNNNNNNNNNNNNNNNNNNNNNNNNNNNNNNNNNNNNNNNNNNNNNNNNNNNNNNNNNNNNNNNNNNNNNNNNNNNNNNNNNNNNNNNNNNNNNNNNNNNNNNNNNNNNNNNNNNNNNNNNNNNNNNNNNNNNNNNNNNNNNNNNNNNNNNNNNNNNNNACCGGCCACCUCCUCCACCGGCCCUGCCCUAGGUGAGCUCUACCUCCUCUUUUUUUUCCUUUUUUUCUGUUUUUUUAGUUUUAGGUUUAUGUUUAGUUUAGAUUUAGUUUUAGUUUUAGUUUUAGUUUUAGGUUUAGUUUUAGUUUAAUUUUAGGUUUAGAUUAAGUUUUUUCCUUUUUUUCUGUUUUAUUAGUUUUAGGUGUAUGUUUAGUUUAGAUUUAGUUUUAGUUUUAGUUUUAGAUUUAGGUUUAGUUUUAGGUUUAGUUUAGUUUGAGGAAAGAAGAAGAAGAAGAAAAAAAGAGGAGAGGAGGAGAAGAAGAAGAGGAAAAAGGAAAGGAAGAAGAAGAGGAGGAGGAGGAGAAGAAAAAAGAAGAAGAGGAAGAAGAAGAAGAAGAAAAAAGAGGAGAGGAGGAGAAGAAGAAGAGGAAAAAGGAAAGGAGGAGGAAGAAGAAGAAGAAGAAGGAAAAAAAAGGAAGAAAAGGAAGAAGAGGAAGAAGAAGAAAAGGAAAAAACCCCGACCCGACACGGCACCCCGACCCCGACCCGGCACNNNNNNNNNNNNNNNNNNNNNNNNNNNNNNNNNNNNNNNNNNNNNNNNNNNNNNNNNNNNNNNNNNNNNNNNNNNNNNNNNNNNNNNNNNNNNNNNNNNNNNNNNNNNNNNNNNNNNNNNNNNNNNNNNNNNNNNNNNNNNNNNNNNNNNNNNNNNNNNNNNNNNNNNNNNNNNNNNNNNNNNNNNNNNNNNNNNNNNNNNNNNNNNNNNNNNNNNNNNNNNNNNNNNNNNNNNNNNNNNNNNNNNNNNNNNNNNNNNNNNNNNNNNNNNNNNNNNNNNNNNNNNNNNNNNNNNNNNNNNNNNNNNNNNNNNNNNNNNNNNNNNNNNNNNNNNNNNNNNNNNNNNNNNNNNNNNNNNNNNNNNNNNNNNNNNNNNNNNNNNNNNNNNNNNNNNNNNCCCCCCGACCCCGAAACAGCACCCCGACCCCGACACGGUACCCCAACACCGACAGGACACCCCGACCACCGACACCUCCCGAAAAGGUGUUCUUUGGCCUUCCAGAGGCCGACGGGGUCAUAUAUUUGUGAAUUAUUAGCUAGGUCAUAUAUUUUUUGAUUUUGUUUUGAAAAACAUCAUAUAUAAUUGUGUUGAUCGUGUAGUUUUAAAUGUGCAGUUGUUUCAUCGUUGCGAGGUUUGGUGUUCGACGACCUUGCCGUGCGUUUGACGAGCUCUGCCCCUUCGUUCGUGGGUGAGCACAAAUGACAAGUCCUCCUCCCCCAUUAAUUAUUUGAUCUAUUCCGAUGAAACUUGAUAGCUAGCUAUAUAUGUGUCUUGAAUCAUCAGUAUGCGUAACCAAUAUGUGUCUCCCGUUCGAAAGCGUCAUAGUUAUAAAUAUGCAUGCAUUUGCAUAUUUAUAACCUUGAUUCUUUCGAAUUGUCCAACGCUAUCCAUGGACAGCCCGAGUAUGUGUAGAUUGGGUUUGUUUUCCCAUAUGCUUUGCUCUGGAUCCGACGCAUAUAUUUCGUCAGUGCCUCCCCUGUUGUUCUCCGGGUACACAUCCUCUAUGUUUAUUGCAGAGACGUGUAUCAGGAGAACAGCGGGGAGGUGCUGCCGAAAUUUUGCGUCGGAUCCGGAGCAUAGCAUGGGAAAAUGAACCCAAUAUACACAUACACGGGUGGGAUUAGGACCUAUCAUUACCUAUUAGAGUGUAGGUUGCAUGGACGUAAUAAAAUUGACAAAGUAGAUCAACUAAUGAAUAUAUACAUGGUGAAUUACAUAUAUAAUUGUUGUGUGUCCAGUAGCUCUGAAAGUCAAGAUGAGUGACCGUGCUUGGAUGUAUACCGGUCACACUGGUCAGAACAAAUGGAGCGCUGAAUGGUUCACAAAAACUAAGGGGUUUGUGCAAGCCGCAUUUGCAAAUGGCCAAAAGAAAACCUGGUGCCCCUGUUUCCGGUGCGGCAAUUGGGAAAAGAAGACAGAGGCUGAAAUGGGCAAACACCUGCAGAAGAGUGGUUUUACGCCCGAUUAUACGGUGUGGACAUUUCAUGGUGAGUCUGCCCAACGUGACCAAGCUGAGGUGGAUCGUCGUUGCACCGACGAGCAUGGUACCGGGAUGGAAAACAUGGUGCAAGGCUAUGAUGAUGCUCGGGAUUCGGACGAGGAGAUGGAGGAAUCUGCAAAGGCCUUCAAUGAAAUGUUGGAUUCUUCGAAACGUCCGCUCCACGAGCACACUGAGCUUUGUCAGUUGAAUGCCAUCUCACAAGUAAUGGCUCUGAAGGCUCAGUUCAACUUGGGCAGAGAAUGCUAUGACGCAAUUAUGACAGUAUUUGGACGCUUUCUACCCAAAGGCCAUGUAAUUCCUGCAAACCUGUACCAGUCGGACAAAAUCCUCCGUGCACUGAAGAUGCCCUAUGAGAAGAUACAUGCUUGUGAGAAAGGAUGUGCCUUAUUUAGGCUUGACUAUGCGGACUUGAACUAUUGUCCCAUUUGCAAGUCUUCCAGGUAUAUUGUGGUAGACAACGGUAUGGGUGAGAAGACACAGAACAAAAUCCCCGUUAGUGUUCUUCGGUAUAUGCCAAUCGUACCAAGACUUCAACGUCUUUUCAUGGUCAAAGAGACGGCCAGACAGAUGACAUGGCACAAAACAGGCAAAAGAACCGAACUAGAUGCAGAUGGGAAUCUGAUGAUGGUACACACAUCGGAUGGUGUUGCGUGGAAAAAGUUUGAUGAAUUACAUGCUGACAAAGCGGCAGAUCCGAGGCAUCCUCGAGUCGGCAUCAGCACGGAUGGGUUCAGUUUGUUUGGUAUGACCGCAGCCCAAUACAGUUGUUGGCCCGUAUUUGUCUUUCCACUCAAUCUCCCCCCUGGACAGAUUAUGCAAAGAAAGAACAUUUUCCUGACGUUGAUAAUUCCAGGACCCAACUAUCCGGGCAAAAAUAUGAAUGUGUACAUGCAGCCGCUUAAGGACGAAUUGCAAGAAGCCUGGGAUAAUGGGUUCAAGACAUACGACGCCUUUAGCAAACGAAACUUCAUAAUGCGUGUCUGGUACAUGUACUCGACGCAUGACUUGCCGGUGUAUGCGCUAUUCAUUGGCUGGUGUGUGCAUGGAAGGUUCCUGUGCCCCACAUGCAAGGGAGCUCUUGAGUUUCGUUGGCUUUAGGCCGGUCGCAAGUUUUCUUGCUUCGACAUGCAUAGACAGUUCCUGGAUUCUCGCCAUAAGUUCAGGAAAGACAAGAAGAACUUCAUCAGGGGUAGAGUUGUCAAAAACUCUGCACCACCUGCAUUGACAGGCCAACAGACCCUGGAUUAGUCAAACGCUCUCGAGCCAUAUCCACAACACCCAGGGUACUUCAAGGGGUAUAAUACUAAGCACGCGUGGACUCACAAAACAUGCUUACAUGAUCUGCCUUACUUCAAAGACCUCCUUUGCCCACACAACAUCGACGUGAUGCACACUGAGAAGAAUAUCGCCGAGGCACUUUUUGGUACAUUGUUCGGCAUAGAUGGGAAGUCAAAGGAUAAUACUAAGGCUAGAGUCGAUCUGGAGGCGCUAUGUGGUAGGCCGUUACAAAACAUGAAAGAACCGAAAGGAAAGCAGAACUGGACGAAGCCAAAGGCAUGGUUCAAUCUUGGAAGGCCAGCUAUGAGGGAAAUUCUCUUGUGGGUGCAACAGCAGUUGAUGUUCCCCGAUGGGUAUGCAGCGAAUCUAAAGAGGGGAGCGAAUCUUGAUAAACUGAAGAUAUUUGGUCUCAAGAGUCAUGAUUGGCACAUAUGGAUUGAGCGGGUAAUGCCGGUGAUGUUGCGUGGCUUCAUCCCUGAGGAUGAAUGGCUAGUACUGGCAGAACUCAGUUAUUUCUUCCAUGUUCUUUGUGCGAAAGAACUAUCGCCUGGCGUGCUAGAAGAAAUGGAAGAGUUGGCGCCAGAGUUGAUCUGCAAGUUAGAGAAGAUAUUUCCACCGGGCUUCUUUAAUCCAAUGCAGCAUUUGAUUUUGCAUCUCCCGACCGAGGCAAGAUUGGGGGGGCCCGUGCAAAAUCGUUGGUGCUACCCAACUGAGAGGAUGCAGAAGACGCUUAGAGAAAAAUGUAAAAAUAAACGUAGAAUUGAAGCAUCGAUGGCUGAGGCAUUCAUCACAGAGGAGGCGGCAAACUUUGUAACAGCGCACUACGAAGCCAAAAAUCGUCAUUUGCAUAAUCCGAAGCCUCGAUACAAUGCUGACAAGCCUAAAAAGGGUGGAUCCAACCUCAGCCUAUUCAAAGGGAAUCUCACACCAGCUAGUGUUUCACAUCCAGUAUCUUUGGAUAACGAAGAAUGGCGGACCAUUUCGUUGUAUAUCUUCAACAACCUGAUAGAAGUGCGGCCGUACAUCGAGUAAGUUCUCGGUCCAUUGUUUCGCAACUUCUAUUUCCUUUGAACUACUCUUAUUCCUGGAUAUGUCAUACAGUCGAUACGUCGCCAUAUUCUCGUAUGGAGCGGAGAUCCAAAAGGAUUCCGUCGAAGAGUAUGAGCUUCUCGCAAAGCAAGGAGGUGGCUAUCCCGGUUUCAUCUCUUGGUUCAAACAAACGGUAAUUUCUAUUAGACAAUUUCAUUUCUUCGCUAAUUUGUGCGUAAUGCAACAAUCCUUUCAUAUUAAACUUGUAGGCUAAUUCAGAGUCUAUGGACGCCGAAUUGAGACAAGUCGCUAAUGGUUUUGACUAUAAGGUCCGUUAAUUUGACAAGUACGACAUCAACGGGUAUCGCUUUCGUACCUAUGGCAAAGAGCUAUCUAUGGCCGACCGAAAGUCUACAAAUUGUUGUGUAUCUGCUAUCGGCGAAGGAGGUAUCGAGUAUUAUGGGAGAGUUGAAGCAAUUUAUGAACUUCUGUUCUAUGGUGAAAACCCACCGAAUGUCGUAGUCUUCAAAUGUUAUUGGUUUCAGCCGAAGGAGACUAGAAGGACUCAUGAACAUAUAGGGCUAGUUGAAAUCAACCAAAGCACUCAUUUAGAUGUUCCUGAUGUCUAUAUUAUGGCUCAACAGGCGACCCAAGUAUUCUAUCUAUCGUGGGCCUGCCAAACUAAUCCAAAUCUGAAAGGUUGGGAUGUCAUUUAUGAAGUGCCGCCACGUGCUAGACUUUCUCCCCCAAAGGAAGAGGAUUAUGAACCUCACAUUAACCCAGACACAUAUGAAGGAGAAUUCUUCCAAGAGACACGUCUUUCCAAAAAGCGUUUCAAGAACCGUUAUACUUCACCCCAAAACAUUGAAGUAGACAGUGACAAUGAAUCCGACAUCACCCCAGAGGAGGAACAAGAAGAGCCGGAACAAGAAGAGGUUACUGCUGCGGAUGACCUGUCAAUGCUUGACCGAUUACGUCAAGGUGGCCUUGCACAUGUUGAUGCCAAUGAACCCUAUGAGCCCAUCAUUGAUUAUAGUGAUGAUGAUGAUUAUGCAUUUAUUGAUGAUACUGAUCGAGAUUAUUAGUAGUGUCAGGUAUUCAAUUUUUUUAUGUUGUACUUGAUGAUGAUACACUUAAGUGAUAUACAUAUUAUUAUUCAUGUCGGUACUUUUUUUAUGUUGUACUAAUUUCGUUUAUUCUUUGUCAUGGCAGGUGUUGAAAGAUGGUGGGCACUGGUCGGGAGCGCGCCGAGGCCCCUUCUUCAUCGGCGCGUGGUGCGAGGUCUUCCAUUCCACACGCACCUCUCCGCCGAGCGUUGCUGGACAGUAUGGCGACAUCGCCGGGCCCUUCUUCGUCGACCGCGGUGCCCAACAGGGGACGAGGUAAGAAGAAGAGAGGAGUUGGAGCACGUGGUCGCGGGAGAGGAGGUAGGGUGACUCGUACGGCUCCUUCCUCGCCACUGCCCCCAACUGUUUCACCCGAGCACGUGACUGCUAGGGUGGACUCGUCUGAGGAGGAGGCUGCAUGGACUCCGGUCCACGAGCCUCCGGUCCAUGAGUCUUCGGCCCACGAGCCUCGGGUCGACGGGCCUUCGGCCCACGAGACUUGGGCCCAGGAGACCCCGGAGGAGCACACGUCUGGAUGGGGUACCUGGUUGGGUCAGCCUGAGCAUGGCGGGGAGCCGAGUGGCCAUGCUGAUGAUGGCGGGGAGCCGACUGAUGAGGAGGGGGAGGAGGGGGGCAACGUCUACCAGCGUGGUGCUACACGGCUCCCAUCCGUGCCGGUGACCCGCGAGCAGAGGUGGUUGAUUUUCCCUGAUGGGGAGAGGUACGUAAGUGCAUUUAAUAUUUUUGUACCUUUUGGAUUCACGUUUCUUCAAAUAACUAAUGCGUUGGCCUUGUCAUGCUGCAGGGGUUGGGACCACCAUCAUAGUGUCCGCCGGCCCAACUCCGUCCUUGGAGUUCUUUGCCGGCAAAACUUGCCGGGGUUUGUCACGUUGCCUGGUGAGGGUCGGCUUCCAGAGCUUGGAUUGAGCUGGGAGCACUACGUGGCUGCCCCGGCCCCGCCGGAUGAGAUUAUCGACGGUGUCGUGUGCGACACAAGGGCAGACAUGGUGAUCAGAAAGUUCUGGGUAAUUUCUCCUUUACACAUUUUAAAAUCUUCAACUAGCUAGUUAUUAAUUGUACUAAUCAAUAUUGUCUCAUUUGAUUGCAGACAUUCUACAGGUGUGAGGAGGGAUACGAGGAGGACGCGGCACAUGUUAUCGAGAACGUCUGCAAGCGCCUACUCCAGAACUUACGGCACGAGGCUCGGGUGCAGGCUGUUCGAGACUACUACGCCUUGCGUGGUAUCAAGAAGACCAAGCCGGCGUGCCGCGAUAAGUUCUUGAGUAAGGAGCAGUACAUGAAGGUAAUUCUUAAGGCCUUCUCUACUUAAGUUCCUUCAUUUAGUAAUUCUUAGUCGUAGCGCUCAAGUUUCUAUUUGCUAACUUAGGCGCCUCCGAGAUGGUGUGCGGAUCGGAUGGAUUGUUGGGAGGUGUUGGUCGAUGAGUGGUGCUCAAAACAAUGGCUAGCCCUCCACAACGAGGCCAAGGACAAACAUGCCCAAAUGGAAGGUGUGCCACACCAUCAGGGCAGCUCCAACUUAUAUCAGUUCGGGCGCAACUGGGUAUGUGGUUUGCUUCAUGAUUCAUGCAAUUCAUUCAUCAUGCUAGCUUGAGCCCUUUAAUUACUAAUUUUCAUUGUUUCUCUCUUUCAGGCACGCUACAAUAAGGCGGAUAAGGUGCCAGAGGUGUACGACCUGUAUGCCAUGGCCCACACCGCCUCUUUCAAGAAAGUCAAGGCUUUCUCUCAGUCUGACCUCGAUGAUGCAAACAACUUCACCAACAUCUCCUCCAACAACAAGCUUGUGAGAUAUAGAGAUGAGGGGAAGGCAAGGAAAGGGGAGGACUUUAACCCGAGCCAGGGUCCCAUUGAUCCAGAGCUGGUGAUGAUAUCUGGUGGCGGGAGGUCCCAUGGCUCCAUAGCCAUUGGAGAUGGACUUAUCCGUUAUCCUAGCACUCUCCCGGAGAUCAAGGCGCGCCAGUCGAGCUCCGCUCCUAAGAUAAGGCCUCGUGAACGGCCAGUGCAACUCGCCAUCAAGGUUAGUGAUACGUACUCAGUUAUCUUUCUCCAUUACAUUGUGUGCGCUUCCAUCAAUGACUACAAAUGGUCAUGUGAGUGGUGUUGCAGGCUGCUAUACAGAGUGAGAGAGAUAGAACGGAGAAACUUCUGGCGGAGGCGGCGGAGAGGCAGCGGGAGUUGGAGGAGAGGACGACAAAGAUGAUGGAGGAGGAGAGGGCACGGAAUGACAUGCAGGCAAGGGCCAUGUACGAGCUCCUUGUGGUAAGUUUCUUCUGCAGAUUAGCCAAAACAUUCAUGUAGUGUUUAUCUCAUUACUAACUAGUAUGACUGAGUCGUCAAAACCAAAUGUGCAGUCUGUGUGCGAGAAGACAGGUCAGACCGCUCCGCCAAUGCCAGUGAUUGCUCCUGGGACCAUGGUGAGUUUUAUUUGAAUGGACAUUACUUGCUAGUCUUAACAUAUGAGUGUCAUCAUGCUAACAAGACAUUGGAAAUGAUCUUUGGUGCAGCGUAACUCCAGACAAGCAUCGCACGAUCCUUAUCCAGCUACCGACACGAGCCACCCCGCUACACCUCCUGGAUCUUGGUAAGUUUAUCUAGUGUUUUGCUUAACACAUGCAUAAAGACCUAGACUUAGCUUUAUUUCCUCCAAUGCUUACCAUAAUGACAUAGACUUAGCUUCUUCUCCUCCAAAAUGACUUAAUAAGCUUACUGACCUCCAAAACCAUCCAUUUUACCUAAGUUAGCUCUAAAACAAUCUGUACUUAGCUUACUUAUGUCAAAAAUUGCAUAAUUAGCUUAGUUAGCUCAUAGACGAUCCAUUUUACCUAAGUUGGCUCUAAAAUGACCCAUUUUACCUAGGUUAGCUUAUAAAUGAUCUAGUUCAUCCAAGUUAGCUCAAAAAUGACCCAUUUUACCUAGAUUAGCUCCUAAAUGAUCCAUUUUACCUAUGUUAGCUUUAAAAUGACCCAUUUCACCUAGGUUAACUCCAAAAUGACCCAUCUUACCUAGGUUAUCUUAUAAACGAUCCAUUUCAACUAAUUUAGCUCAUAAACGAUCCAUUUCACCAAGUUAGCUAAAAAACGAUCCAUUUCACCUAAAUUAGCUCUUAAAUGAUCCAUUUCACCUAAGUUAGCUCAAAAAGAUCCAUUUCAACUAAAUUAGCUCAUAAAUGAUCUAUUUCACCUAAGUUAGCUAAAAACGAUCCAUUUCAACUAAGUUAGCUCAUAAAUGAUCCAUUUCACCUAAGUUAGCUAAAAAACGAUCCAUUUCACCUUAGUUACCUAAAAAAUGAUCCAUUUGACCUUAGUUAGCUCAUAAACAACCCAUUUCAACUAAGUUAGCUCAUAAAUGAUCCAUUUCACCUUAGCUAGCUCAUAAACGACCCAUUUCAACUUAGUUAGCUCAUAUAUUAUCCAUUUCACGUAAGUUAGCUCAUAAAUGACAUACUCUUCUUGUUCUAGUCUUCUUCUUAUUCUACUCUUCUUGUUCUAACUUUCUUAUUUUUCAUUUUGCAGAUUUCAUUCACUUGACGAAAGCUUGCAUAGAUGGAGUGCUCCUUAUCCCUUUCUCUGUUUCUUUUGUAUCGUUGAACUAUGCAUGUAUCGUUGGAUGAAACUAUUGUAAUAUAUAUGGUUGGAUGCCUCUAUGUUGAACUUGUUAUGUAUGAUGGAACUAUGCAUGUAGUAUAUAUGGUUGGAUGAUGAAGUCAUGUGUUGGAUAUCUUAUAUGUUUGCUCUGUAAUGGCCUUUUGAAAUAUAUCUAUAUAUGUCAUAUAUAUUUGUGAUGAAAAUUGUUGGAUUUAAUAAAAAAACAGAUAAAAGAGCCAAUAUGCAGGCUCUUUGCCGUCUGCCACCGACGGCAACGGGCUCUUUGCCGUCUGCCGCGGACGGCAAAAAAGACACGUGGCAUCCAGCUGUGCUUCCUGGGAGCUGACCCAUUUGGUCAGUUUGCCUACAGUGGCAGACGGCAAAGACUUUGCCAUCAGUGGCAGACGACAAAGAACCCGCACUUUGCCAUCAGUGGCAGACGGCAAAGAACCUGCCAUGUAGUGACGUGUAGAUGACAUCAUACGACGGACGGCAAAAACACUAGAAAUUUUGCCGUCAGCGGCGGACGGCAAAGGCCUGCCGUUAGCCACUUAACGGAUUGACAGCGCAAUUAUUGCCGUCCACCGCAGACGGCAAAGGGCCUUUGCCGUCAGCCGCCAGGAAGCAGACGGCAAAGUAGCUGUUUACCGUAGCCUACUUUGUCGGAGCCUUUUGCCGUCCGCGGCUGACGGCAAAGGCCUUUGCCGUCCGCCGUUCAUGCCUUUGCCGUCCGCCGUGGCAGACGGAAAAAUAGCUGAUUCCUGUAGUGAGGUGCGGCCGACAACUGGGACCAAGUAGCUCGAGCAGUAUUUGUGUUUUUGAGGCAUGAGCACUGCAGAGUUUUUCUUGACGAUGAUUUCGUUGUUGUUCAGAGGAGAGCAGGGUAUUAACUGGGCGGGCUGUGGCCCGUCUAGCCCAGGCCAGAUAUCCAGCCCAGAUACUAAUUUUUUCAAGAUGAAAAUGGCUAGCCCAACUAUACGUCUUUUUGAGGAAUACCCAGGCAAGGUCAACUUGUUAUUCUACGCCCCGCUGGGCUGUAAAUCUUUCCUAGGAGGGAUCAUUAGGCUUAACAGGAAAAUGGGAUUUAAAAAAAUAAUAAAUGGGAUGUAAUUAUAAAAACUGGGCAAUAACUAUAAAAAUGCACCAAACACGAAAUUAGUUUAUAAAAUAUUAUUUAUGGAUUUUGAAAAUCUUAAAUUUUCAUUGUUGCGCGCGCAAUGUUUCGUUGGAUUUUUACGUAAUACAAAUUUAUAUUUAAUCUAACAAGAAAUUUCGGGAUAAAAAUAUUUCGGAGCCCAUCAAAAUGUGGGAAAUUUUAUUGAAUUCUGUCUUCAACGGUUGGUUGAAAUUAUUAAUCAUUGUCCUAUCUAGAAAAUGGGCUGUACUUUUAACAAACUGUAAAUGGGCUAUUGUAAAUUCCAUUAGAAUUCCAAAAUGGGUUGUACAUUCUUACAAAACGCAAAUGGGCUAUAAGUUCUCUGCCACACACUUGUGGGCCUACUAAGUGACGCGUCCCCUAAAAAAAUAAGUUGACGCGUAUGCAAGGCUUUGCCAACUUAUUAUAGUCAACGCACGGUUCUAGCAGCAAUGGCCGUUGGAUGUCUAUCCAAUGGAUGUCAUGCUUCUUCUUCAAUCUCGAAUAUUCUUAGCUUCGGCCGCCCAAAAAAUGAUUCCUCCCCCUGACAUCUGGGACACACCGUUUCGGAGGCUGACCUGUGGGCCUACUAAGUUGGAGCAUACCAAGGGCUUUGUCAACUUAGUCAAUAAUAAACAUUUUUAGCUUAAGUGACCGUACAAUGUCCAUCCAACGGCCGUAGUGCUUCUUCAACCUCUGAUCUUCUUGGUCUAGCCACCCAAAGCAGCACCGGUCAUGCCGCCUGCUCCUGCCUCCCGUGGCCAGCUGUGCUGCCGCGGAGGCCUCGCCGCCCCCAUACUACUCCCACCGCUGGCCAGGCCAUCCCUCCACUCACCCACACCCCCUGUUAUUCUGCGGGGACGGCAGCCUCACACCGCAGCCGAACCAGUGAACCCUCGUACUCCUCUUCGCACGGGCUUCCACGGCUACAUCUUCCCCGGCUCCGCAUCGUCCCCUUCCUAGGCCUCGCCGUCGUCCAGACCACCGCCCUGGUGCUCUCGGCGCGGCGUGGUCAACGUGGUCAACGACUGACUCCCAUCGGAAGAGUACUGUACAUGGAGAGGCUGACAGCUAGGUCCAGGCGGCCGCAAGGAAGUGCCUCCUUAUUACGCGCAAAAUAAUUAUUCCUCCACCUUACAACAGGGACCCACCAGACGGGCCACCUUAUUUCGUGAAAAAACGUUUCCCCCCUGACUGCUUGGACCUACCGGAUGGGCUAGCGUAUUUCGCAAAAAAAAACGUUCCCCCCGCUGUCAGCUCGGUCCCACCGAAAGUGCCUCCUUAUUACGCACAAAAAAAUGAAUACUCCCCCUGCUAGCUGGGACCCACCAUGGUGGGAGGCUGACUUGUGGGCCUACUAAGUUGACUGGGACGGGGGCCUUUGUCAACUUUAGUAAAUAUGAAUGAUUCUAGCUCCAGUGACGGUACGAUGUCCAUCGAACGGCCGUAGUGCUUCUUCAACCUCUGGUCUUCUUGCUCUAGCCGCCCAAAGCAGCGCCGCUCAUGCCGCAUGCUCCUGCCUCCCGUGGCCGGCUGUGCUGCCGCGGAGGCCUCACCGCCUCCUACUAUUCCCACCGCUGGCCAGGCCCUGCGUUGACGGCAGCCUCACACCGCAGCUGAACCAGUGAACCCUCGUACUCCUCUCCGCACGGGCUUCCACUACUGCGUCUUCCCGGCUCCUCGUCGUCCCCUUCCUAGGCCUCGCCGUCGUCCACCGCCCUGGUGCUCUCGGCGCGGCGUGGUCAACGUGGUCAAGGAAUGACUUCCAUCGGACGUGGACUAUACAUGGAGAGGCUGACAGCUGGGUCCACGGCCGCAACAAGGAAGUGCCUCCUUAUUACGUGCAAAAUAAUUAUUCCUCCACCUGACAGCGGGGACCCACCAGACGGGCCACCGUAUUUCGUGAAAAAAAUGUUCCCUCCUGACUGCUGGGACCCACCAGCUACACCUUCGCACACAAGGAAGUGCGUCCGGGCAAAAAAAACAAAAUGAUUCGCCCCCCUGACUGCUGGGACCCACCAGCUACAUCUUUGCACGCAAGGAAGUGCCUGACAGUCGGGACCCACCUAGUCGAAGCGUACGUAGCGUUGUCAUUCUGGUCACGAACGUGUACGUACAUAUAUACUGGUCGAUGUAGAGGCGCGCACGUGUCGUAGUAGAGGCGUGCACGUAGCAUGUACAUGUACGUACAGCGGUCAGGGUGCAAGAAAGAAAAUACGGCCACAUAUGUGUACAUACGGGCGGGGUCUCGAACGCCUACUCGCGCAUACGUACGGCGAGGGCUCGUGUACAUGGCUGGGUCGGAAUGGAGAAACAACGUCGUCGUUGUGUUCAUGGGGAGGCAACGGAAUGCAUCGUGUUCAUGGGGAGGCAACAGAAUGCGUCGUGUUCAUCGGGAGGGCUUGGACGGAACAGGCGAUGGAAACGAGGCCUGGCGUACCGCAGAACGGAGGAAACGGCCUUGUGUUCGACCGGCCACGUUCGAAACGGGAUCCUGUUCAUCGGGAGGGGUAUGGUGUACCGCAAAAUGGAGGAAACGGACCUCCUACGGUCGAAACGGGGGGUCCUGUUGAUCGGGAGGGGUGUGGCGUACCGCAAAAUGGAGGAAACGGACCUCCUACGGUCGAAACGGGGGUCCUGUUGAUCGGGAGGGGUGUGGCAUACCGCAAAACGGAGGAAACGGACUUGUGUUGGANNNNNNNNNNNNNNNNNNNNNNNNNNNNNNNNNNNNNNNNNNNNNNNNNNNNNNNNNNNNNNNNNNNNNNNNNNNNNNNNNNNNNNNNNNNNNNNNNNNNNNNNNNNNNNNNNNNNNNNNNNNNNNNNNNNNNNNNNNNNNNNNNNNNNNNNNNNNNNNNNNNNNNNNNNNNNNNNNNNNNNNNNNNNNNNNNNNNNNNNNNNNNNNNNNNNNNNNNNNNNNNNNNNNNNNNNNNNNNNNNNNNNNNNNNNNNNNNNNNNNNNNNNNNNNNNNNNNNNNNNNNNNNNNNNNNNNNNNNNNNNNNNNNNNNNNNNNNNNNNNNNNNNNNNNNNNNNNNNNNNNNNUCCUGUUCAACCACCCCUCCACCGUCUACUGUUCAUCCAGCCCUCCACACCACGGGGUCCUGUUCAUCCACCCCUCCACGGGCACCCCUCCACCCUCUACUGUUCAUCCAGCCCUCCACCACACCAUGGGGUCUUGUUCAUCCAGAGGUAACGCCGCCGCUCACUAUUCAUCCACCCCCCCGCAACGCUCACUGUUCAUCCCAUCGAUCGGCUUCAGUUAGCAGCAGUAGCGAAGGAAUCGCUCGAUCGGGUUCAGUUAACAGCCAUCGAUCGAUCGCUUGGGUUCAGUAACGCGUAGCCUGCAGUGCAAUCGCUCGGGUUCAGUUAGAGCCCAACGCCUCGCUCGGGUUCAGUUAGAGCCAAAGCCUCGCACACACGCAUGUACGUGUACGAGAGAAACGCGCAUCGCUUGGCCCCCGACCUCCCACCGUAACCGGGAACUCCCCGAAAUCCCCCCCUCGCUUCUACCACGGUUUUUUCCAUCAUGGACGGCCCAAAGAAUGUCAUGCAGCUGCGUCUCCGGCCCUCCUAGGACGAAAAGCCCAUUUUCUGUCAUGAUUUUUUGUCAUAGAAGUAGGAGCCCACCACAUCUAUGAUGAUACCGGGUUUUGUCACAGUUAUCGUCAUAGAAGUGUCAUAUGUAUGACAGAAAAAAAAUUCGUUCGGCCCAAAAUGUCAUGGAUGUGUCUUUUUUUUGUAGUGCACUAAGAUAAAGACCUAGAUCACUAUUCUCUUCUCAUUUCUGACUUCUCAUCUAUUCUACUCUUUUAGGAUGGCGGAUGCAAGGAACAAGUUCACGCAACCGGAUGAAGAUACACCCUUUGACCGCCACCUGAAGGAAGUCACUAAGUACCUGAACAUCGGAAUAACAAGCUUCACCGGGACCUACAACGCCACUUUACCCGAAGAGGAGCGCUGGAUGAUUCAAGUUCAAGUCCCAGGAAGGACGUUCGUGCUAGUCACCGAGCCCAUAGAGUUUUCCUUUGAUGCACCAACCUGGAGUCUAGAAAAGAGCAUGGCAGCCCACAUCGCCAUGGGACGUAUUGGAGAAGUUUACCGCAAUGAUCUCAAGGAUACUAUCUACCAGAUUUGUGGGCGCCGAGAUGAGCAAUGGGGGAUGAUCAGCACCAGGAAGGAUAGAUCAAUCAUAGCUUUUAUCCAGGAGUUAAACCAGCACAUUCGACGUCAGGAGAACCAGAUGUGCGCAGGCAUGAUAGAUCUGAAGAAGGCGAUGACAAGAAUCAUGGAGCUGGAGGAAGAACUCAAGGCUACACGUGAAGAUUAUGAGGAGGAAAUCGUCGUACUAGUGGAGAAGAAUGACGACCCGAUUAAGAAGAUCGGAAUAUUCAUGGGAGACCCCACACCAGUAGAAGGAGACGAAGAACCCAAGGAGUUUCGCCCGGAAGACUACAUCAUCAUCGACGACACCGACUCUGACCUGAGCGAUGAUGACUAUGAAGAUGAAGCUGGAGCAGAUAUCAUGGAAUCUGCAACCGAGGAAUAUUUCUAGUAGACCACCACAUCAGUAGUAGUAUUCCACCAUGUAAAUAGAGUAGUCCGAGCACUUUUGCGAUAGUUAGACCGAUUGUAUGACUUGAUUGAUUGAUUGAGUGAAAUGUUUGUGUUUGUCUCAUGUGCAUAUGGGUAGUGUUUUCUCAUUAGACCUCAUUCUAUUCUAAUCUCUCCCCUCUAAACCCAUCAGAUGCCUUCGAGACGUGACAAUGGAUUUGCAUUUCCACUGGAGCUCACUCAGUUGAUCCAGCAGCAGAACAGUUGCUAGUCCAGAAUCAGAAUCAGGGGAACAACAACAACAACAACAACAAAAACCCACCACCACCACAACCUGUUGAUCACUUAACCCGUUUCCUUAGACUGAAUCCGUCGGUGUUCUCCAGUAGCACCGAGCCUAUAGUAGCAGAUGAUUGGCUCCGCAAGAUUGGAAGGGAGUUAACCACUACAGGAUGUACUGACGCUGAGAAGGUGCGUUUUGCCGCACAUCAGUUGGAUGGACCAGUAGCAUCAUGGUGGGAGAAUUACACUGUCACCUACCCUAUAGCCACGGUGACAUGGGACCAAUUUCAGCAGGCUUUCCGUAUAGCCCAUGUUUCAGCAAGAGCUAUGGCCAUGAAGAAGCGUGAGUUUCGCAACUUGCGCCAAGGAGGACGGACAGUUGGCCAAUACGUGGAUGACUUUAGUAAGUUAGCACGUUAUGCCUCGGAUGACGUUGCUAUGGAUGCAGCUAAGUAGGAGAAGUUUCUGGAAGGACUGAAUAAUGAGUUGAGUAUGAAGUUGAUGGUAGCAACUUUCAACAACUACCAGGAGUUGGUAGAUCGUGCUCUUAUGAUUGAAGGGAAGAAGCAAUAGAUUGAGAACCGCAAGAGGAAGUAUGGACAAGGGAAAUACAAUUCAGGAGCUCAGCAGAAGCCAUGUUUUACCCCGAAAAUGGGAGGACAUUUUCAGCAUACCCAUGGAGGAGGGAGUUCACAUAAUCAUAAUGGCCCCAAGAAUGGUAAUGGGAAUGGGGGGAUCAACGGUGAGAAUCGUACCAACCCAUCAACACCAGCUAAGAGAGACCUAAGCCAAGUCACUUGUUAUAAGUGUCAGAAGACCAGACAUUAUGCCAAUGAAUGUCCUGAAGCCCAGAAUGGAAAUGGCAAUGGAAGCUCUGGGAAGAAGCCGAACCCUUUCAACAGGGGACAGGUGAACCACGUUAACAUGGAGGAGGUUGAAGCCCAGCCAGAUGCAGUAAUAGGUAAGUUUUUGGUUAAGUCAUUUACUGCAAUCGUUCUUUUCGAUACUGGUGCAUCGCAUUCAUACAUAUCAAUGGGAUUCAUGGAUAAGUAUAAACUGCCCACCAAGGUUCUUAAAACACCUAUGUUAGUAAGCUCACCAGGAGCGGAGUAUAUGGCCAGUAAAGGAUGUUUUCAAGUGCCAUUGAGUAUAGGUAGGCAUGUGUUUCCGUCGGAUUUAAUCAUUUUGGAAUCACAAGGUUUGGAUGUAAUUCUGGGUAUGGAUUGGCUAUCGAUGUAUGGAGGAAACAUCUAUUGCGCCAGUAAGUCGAUUUUGCUUACCACCCCAGAGGGAAGAAGGAUCAAGUAUGUAUCACGACAUGUGCCGAAUAGGACUCAAGUAAAUUCCUUAUCAGGAGUUGUACAAGAGGAGGUACCGGUGGUAAAGGAUUUUCUGGAUGUAUUUCCAGAAGAGUUGCCAGGCAUGCCACCGGUGAAGGAAAUAUGCCCUAGAGGCAAUAAUAAAGUUAUUACUUAUUUCCUUAUAUCAUGAUAAAUGUUUAUUAUUCAUGCUAGAAUUGUAUUAACCGGAAACAUAAUACAUGUGUGAAUACAUAGACAAACAGAGUGUCACUAUUAUGCCUCUACUUGACUAGCUCGUUAAUCGAAGAUGGUUAUGUUUCCUAACCAUGAACAAGGAGUUGUUAUUUGAUUAACGGGAUCACAUCAUUAAGUGAAUGAUCUGAUUGACAUGACCCAUUCCAUUAGCUUAUCACCCGAUCGUUUAGUAUGUUGCUAUUGCUUUCUUCAUGACUUAUACAUGUUCCUAUAACUAUGAAUUAUGCAACUCCCGUUUGCCGGAGGAACACUUUGUGUGCUACCAAACGUCACAACGUAACUGGGUGAUUAUAAAGGAGCUCUACAGGUGUCUCCAAAGGUACAUGUUGGGUUGGCGUAUUUCGAGAUUAGGAUUUGUCACUUCGAUUGUCGGAGAGGUAUCUCUGGGCCCUCUCGGUAAUGCAUAUCACUUAAGCCUUGCAAGCAUUGCAACUAAUGAGUUAGUUGCGGGAUGAUGUAUUAUAGAACGAGUAAAGAGACUUGCCGGUAAUGAGAUUGAACUAGGUAUUGGUAUACCGACGAUCGAAUCUCGGGCAAGUAACAUACCGAUGACAAAGGGAACAACGUAUGUUGUUAUGCGGUCUGACCGAUAAAGAUCUUCGUAGAAUAUGUAGGAGCCAAUAUGGGCAUCCAGGUCCUGCUAUUGGUUAUUGACCGGAGACAUGUCUCGGUCAUGUCUACAUUGUUCUCGAACCCGUAGGGUCCGCACGCUUAAGGUUACGAUGACAGUUAUAUUAUGAGUUUUUGCAUUUUGAUGUACCGAAGUUUGUUCGGAGUCCCGGAUGUGAUCACGGACAUGACGAGGAGUCUCGAAAUGGUCGAGACAUAAAGAUUGAUAUAUUCGAGGCCUAUGUUUGGAUAUCGGAAGUGUUCCGGGUGAAAUCGGGAUUUUACCGGAGUACCGGGAGGUUACCGGAACCCCCCGGGAGCUAUAUGGGCCAUAGUGGGCCUUAGUGGAAAAGAGAAGAGGCAGCCCAACAUGGGCCGCGCGCCCGUCCCCUCCCUUGGUCCGAAUAGGACAAGGAGAGGGGGCCGGCCUCUCUCUCUCUUUUCCCCCCUCCGCGAAUCCUAUUCCAACUAGGAUUGGGGGGGGGGGGGAAUCCUACUCCCAGAGGGAGUAGGACUCUCCUGGCGCGCCUGUCCUAGGCCGGCCGCACCCCCCCUUUAGUCCUUUAUAUACGGAGGCAGGGGCACCCCAGAAAAACACAAGUUGAUCCACGUGAUCUUAUUCUUAGCCGUGUGCGGCGCCCCCAGCCACCAUAGUCCUCGAUAAUAUUGUAGUGGUGCUUAGGCGAAGCCCUGCGACAGUAGUACAUCAAGAUCGUCACCACGGCGUCGUGCUGACGGAACUCUUCCCCGACACUGUGCUGGAUCGGAGUCCGGGGAUCGUCAUCGAGCUGAACGUGUGCUAAAACUCGGAGGUGUCGUAGUUUCGGUGCUUGAUCGGUCGGGCCGUGAAGACGUACGACUACAUCAACCAAACGCUUCCGUUGUCGAUCUACCAAGGGUACGUAGAUCACACUCUCCCCUCAUUGCUAUGCAUCACCAUGAUCUUGCGUGUGCGUAGGAAUUUUUUUGAAAUUACUACGUUCCCCAACAGUGGCAUCCGAGCCUAGGUUUUAUAUGUUGAUGUUAUAUGCACGAGUAGAACACAAGUGAGUUGUGGGCAAUAUAAGUCAUACUACUUACCAGCAUGUCAUACUUUGGUUUGGCGGUAUUGUUGGAUGAAGCGGCCCGGACCGACAUUACGCGUACGCUUACGCGAGACCGGUUCUCCCGACGUGCUUUGCACAGAGGUGGCUUGCGGGUGACAGUUUCUCCAACUUUAGUUGAAUCGAGUGUGGCUACGCCCGGUCCUUGCGAAGGUUAAAACAACACCAACUUGACAAACUAUCGUUGUGGUUUUGAUGCGUAGGUAAGAUUAGUUCUUGCUUAAGCCCGUAGCAGCCACGUAAAACUUGCAACAACAAAGUAGAGGACGUCUAACUUGUUUUUGCAGGGCAUGUUGUGAUGUGAUAUGGUCAAGACAUGAUGCUGAUUUUUAUUGUAUGAGAUGAUCAUGUUUUGUAACCGAGUUAUCGGCAACUGGCAGGAGCCAUAUGGUUGUCGUUUUAUUGUAUGCAAUGCAAUCGCGAUGUAAUGCUUUACUUUAUCACUAAGCGGUAGCGAUAGUCGUGGAAGCACAAGCUUGGCGAGACGACAAUGAUGCUACGAUGGAGAUCAAGGUGUCGCGCCGGUGACGAUGGUGAUCAUGAUGGUGCUUCGGAGAUGGAGAUCACAAGCACAAGAUGAUGAUGGCCAUAUCAUAUCACUUAUAUUGAUUGCAUGUGAUGUUUAUCUUUUAUGCAUCUUAUCUUACUUUGAUUGACGGUAGCAUUCUAAGAUGAUCUCUCACUAAUUAUCAAGAAGUGUUCUCCCUGAGUAUGCACCGUUGCGAAAGUUCUUCGUGCUGAGACACCACGUGAUGAUCGGGUGUGAUAGGCUCUACGUUCAAAUACAACGGGUGCAAAACAGUUGCACACGUGGAAUACUCAGGUUAUACUUGACGAGCCAAGCAUAUACAGAUAUGGCCUCGGAACACAGAGACCGAAAGGUCGAGCGUGAGUCAUAUAGUAGAUAUGAUCAACAUAGUGAUGUUCACCAAUGAAACUACUCCAUCUCACAUGAUGAUCGGACAUGGUUUAGUUGAUUUGGAUCACGUAAUCACUUAGAGGAUUAGAGGGAUGUCUAUCUAAGUGGGAGUUCUUUAAGUAAAUUAACUGAACUUAAAUUUAUCAUGAAACUUAGUACCUAAUAAGUAUCUUGCAUGUUUAUGCUUGUUUGUAGAUAGAUGGCUCAUGUUGUUGUUCCGUUAAAUUUUAAUGCGUUCCUUGAGAAAGCAAAGUUGAAAGAUGAUGGUAGCAAUUACACGGACUGGGUCCAUAACUUGAGGACUAUCCUCAUUCCUGCACAGAAGAAUUACUUCCUGGAAGCACCGCUGGGUGCCAGGCCUGCUGCAGGAGCAACGCCGGAUGUUAUGAACGUCUGGCAGAGCAAAGCUGAUGACUACUCAAUAGUUCAGUGUGCCAUGCUUUACGGCUUAGAAUCGGGACUUCAACGACGUUUUGAACGUCAUGGAGCAUAUGAGAUGUUCCAGGACUUGAAGUUAAUAUUUCAAGCAAAUGCUAGGAUUGAGAGAUAUGAAGUCUCCAAUAAGUUCUAUAGCUGCAAGAUGGAGGAGAACAGUUCUGUCAGUGAGCAUAUACUCAAAAUGUCUGGGUAUAAUAAUCACUUGAUUCAAUUGGGAGUUAAUCUUCUAGAUGAUUGCAUCAUUGACAGAAUUCUCCAAUCACUGCCACCAAGCUACAAGAGCUUCGUGAUGAACUAUAAUAUGCAAGGGAUGAAUAAAACUAUUCCCGAGCUCUUCGCAAUGCUGAAAGCUGCGGAGGUAGAAAUCAAGAAGGAGCAUCAAGUGGUGAUGGUAAACAAGACCACUAGUUUCAAGAGAAAGGGCAAAGGGAAGAAGAAGGGGAACUUCAAGAAGAACAACAAACAUGUUGCUGCUCAAGAGAAGAAACCCAAGUCUGGACCUAAGCCUGAAACUGAGUGCUUCUACUGCAAGCAGACUGGUCACUGGAAGCGGAACUGCCCCAAGUAUUUGGCGGAUAAGAAGGAUGGCAAGGUGAACAAAGGUAUAUGUGAUAUACAUGUUAUUGAUGUGUACCUUACUAAUGCUCGCAGUAGUACCUGGGUAUUUGAUACUGGUUCUGUUGCUAAUAUUUGCAACUCGAAACAGGGACUACGGAUUAAGCUAAGAUUGGCUAAGGACGAGGUGACAAUGCGCGUGGGAAACGGUUCCAAAGUCGAUGUGAUCGCAGUCGGCACGCUACCUCUACAUCUACCUUCGAGAUUAAUAUUAGACCUAAAUAAUUGUUAUUUGGUGCCAGUGUUAAGCAUGAACAUUAUAUCUGGAUCUUGUUUGAUGUGAGACGGUUAUUCAUUUAAAUCAGAGAAUAAUGGUUGUUCUAUUUAUAUGAGUAAUAUCUUUUAUGGUCAUGCACCCUUGAAGAGUGGUCUAUUCUUAUUGAAUCUCCAUAGUAGUAACACACAUAUUCAUAAUGCUGAAGCCAAAAGAUGCAGAGUUGAUAAUGAUAGUGCAACUUAUUUGUGGCACUGCCGUUUAGGUCAUAUCGGUGUAAAGCGCAUGAAGAAACUCCAUACUGAUGGACUUUUGGAACCACUUGAUUAUGAAUCACUUGGUACUUGUGAACCGUGCCUCAUAGGCAAGAUGACCAAAACACCAUUCUCUGGUACUAUGGAGAGAGCAACAGAUUUGUUGGAAAUCAUACAUACAGAUGUAUGUGGUCUGAUAAAUAUUGAGGCUCGUGGCGGAUAUCGUUAUUUUCUCACCUUCAUAGAUGACUUAAGCAGAUAUGGGUAUAUCUACUUAAUGAAACAUAAGUCUGAAAUGUUUGAAAAGUUCAAAGAAUUUCAGAGUGAAGUUGAAAAUCAUCGUAACAAGAAAAUAAAGUUUCUACGAUCUGAUCGUGGAGGAGAAUAUUUGAGUUACGAGUUUGGUGUACAUUUGAAAAAUUGUGGAAUAGUUUCGCAACUCACGCCACCCGGAACACCAUAGCGCAAUGGUGUGUCCGAACGUCGUAAUCGUACUUUACUAGAUAUGGUGCGAUCUAUGAUGUCUCUUACUGAUUUACCGCUAUCGUUUUGGGGAUACGCUCUAGAGACGGCCGCAUUCACGUUAAAUAGGGCACCAUCAAAAUCCGUUGAGACGACGCCUUAUGAACUGUGGUUUGGCAAGAAACCAAAGUUGUCGUUUCUGAAAGUUUGGGGCUGCGAUGCUUAUGUGAAAAAGCUUCAACCUGAUAAGCUCGAACCCAAAUCGGAGAAAUGUGUCUUCAUAGGAUAUCCAAAGGAGACUAUUGGAUACACCUUCUAUCACAGAUCUGAAGGCAAGACUUUUGUUGCUAAGUUCAGAAACUUUCUAGAGAAGGAGUUUCUCUCGAAAGAAGUGAGUGGGAGGAAAGUAGAACUUGACGAGGUAACUGUACCUACUCCCUUAUUGGAAAGUAGUGCAUCACAGAAAACUGUUUCUGUGACACCUACACCAGUGAGUGAGGAAGCUAAUGAUGAUGAUCAUGAAACUUCAGAACAAGAUACUACUGAACCUCGUAGAUCAACCAGAGUAAGAUCCGCGCCAGAGUGGUACGGUAAUCCUGUUCUGCAAGUCAUGCUACUAGAUCAUGAUGAACCUACGAACUAUGAAGAAGCAAUGGUGAGCCCAGAUUCCGCAAAGUGGCUUGAAGCCAUGAAAUCUGAGAUGGGAUCCAUGUAUGAGAACAAAGUAUGGACUUUGGUUGACUUGCCCGAUGAUUGGCAAGCAAUUGAGAAUAAAUGGAUCUUCAAGAAGAAGACUGACGCUGACGGUAAUAUUACUGUCUACAAAGCUCGACUUGUCGCAAAAGGAUUUCGGCAAGUUCAAGGGAUUGACUACGAUGAGACCUUCUCACCCGUAGCGAUGCUUAAGUCUGUCCGAAUCAUGUUAGCAAUUGCCGCAUUUUAUGAUUAUGAAAUUUGGCAGAUGGAUGUCAAAACUGCAUUCCUGAAUGGAUUUCUGGAAGAAGAGUUGUAUAUGAUACAACCAGAAGGUUUUGUCGAUCCAAAGGGAGCUAACAAAGUGUGCAAGCUCCAGCGAUCCAUUUAUGGACUGGUGCAAGCCUCUCGGAGUUGGAAUAAACAUUUUGAUAGUGUGAUCAAAGAAUUUGGUUUUAUGCAGACUUUUGGAGAAGCCUGUAUUUACAAGAAAGUGAGUGGGAGCUCUAUAGCAUUUAUGAUAUUAUAUGUAGAUGACAUAUUACUAAUUGGAAAUGAUAUAGAAUUUCUGGAUAGCAUAAAGGGAUACUUGAAUAAGAGUUUUUCAAUGAAAGACCUCGGUGAAGCUGCUUACAUAUUAGGCAUUAAGAUCUAUAGAGAUAGAUCAAGACGCUUAAUUGGACUUUCACAAAGCACAUACCUAGACAAAGUUUUGAAGAAGUUCAAAAUGGAUCAAGCAAAGAAAGGGUUCUUGCCUGUGUUACAAGGUGUGAAGUUGAGUAAGACUCAAUGCCCGACCACUACAGAAGAUAGAGAGAAUAUGAAAGAUGUUCCCUAUGCUUCAGCCAUAGGCUCUAUCAUGUAUGCAAUGCUGUGUACCAGACCUGAUGUGUGCCUUGCUAUAAGUCUAGCAGGGAGGUACCAAAGUAAUCCAGGAGUGGAUCACUGGACAAUGGUCAAGAACAUCCUGAAGUACCUGAAAAGGACUAAGGAUAUGUUUCUCGUAUAUGGAGGUGACAAAGAGCUCAUCGUAAACGGUUACGUUGAUGCAAGCUUUGACACUGAUCCAGACGAUUCUAAAUCGCAAACCGGAUACGUGUUUACAUUAAACGGUGGAGCUGUCAGUUGGUGCAGUUCUAAACAAAGCGUCAUGGCGGGAUCUACAUGUGAAGCGGAGUACAUAGCUGCUUCGGAAGCAGCAAAUGAAGGAGUCUGGAUGAAGGAGUUCAUAUCCGAUCUAGGUGUCAUACCUAGUGCAUCGGGUCCAAUGAAAAUAUUUUGUGACAAUACUGGUGCAAUUGCCUUGGCAAAGGAAUCCAGAUUUCACAAGAGAACCAAGCACAUCAAGAGACGCUUCAAUUCCAUCCGGGAUCUAGUCCAGGUGGGAGACAUAGAGAUUUGCAAGAUACAUACGGAUCUGAAUGUUGCAGACCCAUUGACUAAGCCUCUUCCACGAGCAAAACAUGAUCAGCACCAAGGCUCCAUGGGUGUUAGAAUCAUUACUGUGUAAUCUAGAUUAUUGACUCUAGUGCAAGUGGGAGACUGAAGUAAAUAUGCCCUAGAGGCAAUAAUAAAGUUAUUAUUUAUUUCCUUAUAUCAUGAUAAAUGUUUAUUAUUCAUGCUAGAAUUGUAUUAACCGGAAACAUAAUACAUGUGUGAAUACAUAGACAAACAGAGUGUCACUAGUAUGCCUCUACUUGACUAGCUCGUUAAUCGAAGAUGGUUAUGUUUCCUAACCAUGAACAAGGAGUUGUUAUUUGAUUAACGGGAUCACAUCAUUAAGUGAAUGAUCUGAUUGACAUGACCCAUUCCAUUAGCUUAGCACCCGAUCGUUUAGUAUGUUGCUAUUGCUUUCUUCAUGACUUAUACAUGUUCCUAUAACUAUGAGAUUAUGCAACUCCCGUUUGCCGGAGGAACACUUUGUGUGCUACCAAACGUCACAACGUAACUGGGUGAUUAUAAAGGAGCUCUACAGGUGUCUCCAAAGGUACAUGUUGGGUUGGCGUAUUUCGAGAUUAGGAUUUGUCACUCCGAUUGUCGGAGAGGUAUCUCUGGGCCCUCUCGGUAAUGCAUAUCACUUAAGCCUUGCAAGCAUUGCAACUAAUGAGUUAGUUGCGGGAUGAUGUAUUACAGAACGAGUAAAGAGACUUGCCGGUAACGAGAUUGAACUAGGUAUUGGUAUACUGACGAUCGAAUCUCGGGCAAGUAACAUACCGAUGACAAAGGGAACAACGUAUGUUGUUAUGCGGUCUGACCGAUAAAGAUCUUCGUAGAAUAUGUAGGAGCCAAUAUGGGCAUCCAGGUCCCGCUAUUGGUUAUUGACCGGAGACAUGUCUCGGUCAUGUCUACAUUGUUCUCGAACCCGUAGGGUCCGCACGCUUAAGGUUACGAUGACAGUUAUAUUAUGAGUUUUUGCUUUGAUGUACCGAAGUUUGUUCGGAGUCCCGGAUGUGAUCACAGACAUGACGAGGAGUCUCAAAAUGGUCGAGAAGUGUUCCGGGUGAAAUCGGGAUUUUACCGGAGUACCGGGAGGUUAUCGAAACCCCCCGGGAGCUAUAUGGGCCAUAGUGGGCCUUAGUGGAAAAGACAAGAGGCAGCCCAACAUGGACCGCGCGCACCUCCCCUCCCUUGGUCCGAAUAGGACAAGGAGAGGGGGCCGGCCUCUCUCUCUCUUUUCCCCCCUCCGCGAAUCCUAUUCCAACUAGGAUUGGGGGGGGAUCCUACUCCCAGAGGGAGUAGGACUCUCCUGGCGCGCCUCUCCUAGGCUGGCCGCACCCUCCCCCUUUAGUCCUUUAUAUACGGAGGCAGGGGCACCCCAGAAAAACACAAGUUGAUCCACGUGAUCUUAUUCUUAGCCGUGUGCGGCGCCCCCAGCCACCAUAGUCCUCGAUAAUAUUGUAGUGGUGCUUAGGCGAAGCCCUGCGACAGUAGUACAUCAAGAUCGUCACCACGCCGUCGUGCUGACGGAACUCUUCCCCGACACUUUGCUGGAUCGGAGUCCGGGGAUCGUCAUCGAGUUGAACGUGUGCUAAAACUCGGAGGUGCCGUAGUUUCGGUGCUUGAUCGGUCGGGCCAUGAAGACGUACGACUACAUCAACCAAACGCUUCCGUUGUUGAUCUACCAAGGGUACGUAGAUCACACUCUCCCGUCGUUGCUAUGCAUCACCAUGAUCUUGCGUGUGCGUAGGAAAUAUUUUGAAAUUACUACGUUCCCCAACAACCUGAUAGAGACAUUGAGUUUUUGAUUGAGCUUUUGCCAGGCACAGGACCAAUAUCUAAGAGACUGUAUAGAAUGCCUUCAAAGGAUUUGGAGGAGAUUAAGAAGCAGAUUAAGGAGUUACUGGAUAAGGGAUAUAUUCGCCCAAGUUCGUCACCUUGCGGAUCACUAGUACUUCUAGUGGAAAAGAAGCAUGGAUCGUUAAGGAUGGUUGUUGAUUAUUGAGGAUUGAAUGAGGUGACAAUCAAGAAUAAGUACCAACUGCCGAGGAUCAAUGAUUUUUUUGACCAAUUGCAAGGAGCUAAGGUAUUUUCCAAGAUUGGUUUGCGAUCAGGAUACCACCAGUUGAAGAUUCGAGAGCAGGACAUACCUAAGACAGCUUUUACCACAAGGUACGGGCUGCAUGAGUAUACCGUUAUGUCAUUUGGUCUGACUAACACACCUGCUUACUUUAUGAACAUGAUGAACAAAGUGUUUAUGGAGUUUUUGGAUAAGUUCAUCGUAGUGUUCAUUGAUGAUAUUCUGGUUUACUCGAAGAAUGAAGAAGAACAUAAAGAACAUUUGCAUUUGGUACUUGGUAAGCUCAGAGAACAUCAGUUAUACGCCAAGUUCAGCAAAUGUGAGUUUUGGUUGAAGGAAGUGGGAUUCCUCGGACAUGUUAUAUCCGGAGAAGGAAUAGCUGUAGAUCCCACCAAGGUUGUCACUGUGACAAAUUGGGAAGCCCCAACAACAGUUGGAGAGAUCCGGAGUUGGACUCGCAGGAUACUACCGGAGGUUCAUUGAAAAUUUCUCAAAAAUUGCAAAACCUAUGACGGAGUUUUUGAAGAAGGAUACAAAGUUCAAAUGGACUGAAGAAUGUGAGGCCAGUUUCCAGGAGUUGAAGAAACGUUUGGUUACAUUGCCAGUGUUGAUUCUGCUAGAUCAGCACAAGGAUUAUGAAGUAUAUUGCGACGCUUCACAUCGAGGACUUGGAGCAGUGCUUAUGCAGGAGGGAAGAGUUGUUUCAUAUGCCUCAUGACAGCUUAAGCCCCAUGAAUUGAAUUAUGCUACACACGACUUGGAGUUAGCAGCCAUAGUGCACACAUUAAAAACAUGGAGACAUUUUCUCAUCGGAAACUAUUGUGAGGUGUACACGGAUCACAAAGGUUUGAAAUACAUCUUCAUGCAAAAGGAGUUGAAUAUCAGGAAAAGGAGAUGGUUGGAGCUCAUCAAGGAUUAUGAUAUGAGAUUACAUUAUCAUCCCGGAAAGGCUAACGUAGUAGCUGACGCAUUGAGCCGCAAGAGCCAUGUCAACACACUAAUGACCGGAGAGUUACCAAAGGAGUUAGCCGAGGAUCUUCGUGAGCUAUGUUUGGAGAUAGUUCCGAGAGGCUAUGUAGCAGCAUUGGAGAUUCAGUCUACUCUGAUGGAUAAGAUCGGAGAAGCUCAGAAGACCGACAAGGAGAUUGCCACCAUAAAGGAGAAGAUGAGCAAGGGAAAAGUUAAAGGAUUUCGUGAGGAUGAACACGAUACCUUAUGGUUUGAGGACCGCGUUUAUGUGCCUAAUGACCCAGAGAUCAGGAAGCUAAUUUUGCAAGAGGCCCAUGAUUCGCUGUGCUCGAUUCACCCAGGAAAUACCAAGAUGUAUUUGGAUUUGAAAGACACUUUCUGGUGGACCGGAAUGAAGAAGGAUAUUGCAGAGUAUGUAGCAGUUUGUGAUGUAUGUCAGAGAGUGAAGGUAGAGCAUCAGAAGCCAGCAGGAUUGCUACAGCCAUUGCCGAUACCCGAAUUGAAGUGGGAUAAGCUAGGCAUUUUACCACGGGAUUACCCAGGACCCGUUCAGGCUAUGACUCGAUAUGGGUUGUAGUCGAUCGCUUGACGAAGGUAGCUCAUUUCAUUCCAGUGAAGACCACUUACACCAGUGCUAAGUUGGCAAAGAUAUACAUGACCAAGAUCGUAUGUCUGCAUGGAAUUCCGAGGAGCAUUUUAUCAGAUAGAGGAACCCAGUUUACCUCAAAGUUCUGGAAUCAGUUGCAUGAAACUUUUGGUACCAGACUAGAGUUCAGUACAACUUUUCAUCCGCAGACCGAUGGACAGACCGAGAGAGUCAAUCAGAUUUUGGAGGAUAUGCUGAGACCUUGUGCGCUAGAUUAUGGAUCUAGUUGAGAUGACAACUUUCCAUAUGCGGAGUUCUCUUACAACAACAGUUAUCAAUCUAGUUGAAGAUGGCCCCUUUUGAAGCCUUGUACAGAAGAAGGUGCAGAACAGCAUUGUCGUGGGACGAAGUUGGAGACCCCUAGUUACUUGGACCAGAUUUGAUUAAGGAGUCUGAACAGAAGGUGAAAUUGAUUCACGAUAGACUCAAGGUAGCCCAAUCCAGGCAGAAGAGCUAUGCAGAUUCUAAACGCAAGGAGAUAGUUUACGAAGCCGAAGAUAGAGUUUAUCUUCGUGUAUCUCCGCUUCGAGGAGUUAAGCGCUUUGGAGUUAAGGGAAAGUUAGCGCCACGUUUUGUGGGACCAUACGAAGUUUUGGAAUGCACAGGAGAAGUUGCUUAUAAAUUAGAAUUGCCUGAGGGAUUGUUGGGAGUUCAUGACGUGUUCCACGUUUCCCAAUUGAAGAAGUGCCAUGCAGAAAUGGCGGAUAUACCGCUGAGAGAUACAGUGCCGCUGGAAACGAUUCAGUUGGAUAGUGAUUUGACCUAUGAGGAGAAACCAGUUAAGAUUCUCGAGUAUGCCAGCCGAGUCACCCGCAGCAAGGUUAUCAAGUUUUGCAAAGUUCAGUGGAGCCACCACACCGAGGAUGAAGCCACCUGGGAACGAGAAGAAGAUCUGCUGAAGGACCACCCUCACCUAUUUUCUAGCCAACCCGAAUCUCGAGGGCGAGAUUCACCUUAAGGGGGGUAGGUUUGUAACAUCCCAAAAUUUCAAUUUGGAAUGUUAUACAUUAGAUCAUCACUGCAUAUCAUAUUUUAUUUUCUUUUGGCCUGAUCCAGAAAUUCUACGCAACUCAAGGACCCACGGAGAGAGUUGGGGGUUUCGUUAUUUUCAUAUUUGAGUUUUCUCAAAUUUUGAAGAUAUGAUUAUUUGAUUUUAUUUAUUUUAUCUUCAAUUAUUUCCAUUAUAGAAAUAUGAUAGAGGGGAUAAAAUGACUUUCCCAAAAUAAAGAAAUAUUGAGGAUUUAAUAAAAAAAUCAAAUAAGAUUUUAUUUUGGAGUUUUGACUAGUUCUAUUUGAAUUUAGGAAAAAUUGCAUGUUUUUCAAAACUAUUUCAGGGCCAAGAAAAUGUUCAUCUCGUUCUAAAUAUUUUAUUUAGGCGGUGAAAAUUUAUUUUGGCAUUUUUUGAAUUUUAUUUUAUUUUCUAGAAUUUUUCUUAGUUUUGGCGGAAUUGUUUAAAAGAAACUAUUCACGCGCCCGACUGGGCCGAAGGCCCAGCCGAGCCGGGCCAAGCCCGCGCCGCCGCCGUCUGCCGCACCGGCUCAGGACCGAAGUCCCGAGCGAAGCCGCCGCCGCCUCCCGAGACGGCCCCUUCCCCAAGCGGCGCCGCCCCCCUCUCAUAAAUACCCGCCAACACACCGCCCUGCCACCUCGCCCCGCCCCGCCUCCCGCAGCCACUGCUUGCCACCGCAACCGCCGCUCGCCGCGCCCGCCGCCACGCCCCGCCGGAGCCCCGAGCCGUCGAAGUCCGACGAGGUAGCCGCGCCAUUCGCCGCCGGUUUUCUGGAGAAAACCGAUCCCGUUUUUCCGUGAAAACCCUAGGUUUUUUAUUAGAUCAGUUUUAUCAGUUCUUUUAUUUAGCGAGCGUUCGCUCGUUUGUUCAUUUUUACGGACGAGUUCACUGUUUAGUUUCAGAUAACGAACGUUCGUUCGUUAAUCUGUUCGUAAGUUUUUCUUUUUCUCAGAUUUUCCGCGAUUAUUUCUGAUCGCGAUUUCUGAUCCAAUUUUCGUUUUAGUUUAACUUUUCGCUCGUUUAUCGGAAUCAGGAGAUUCAAGCGCCUAGAGUUUCAUCUCAAAACCCUCUUUCCAUUUAACCAACUCGAACAAGUUUUUGCUUCUGUAAAAUUUGACUUUGGUCUAGAUUGGUAAUCGAAGCUUGUUUUCUUUCACCGUUUGACUUUCGUUGUUUCGUUCGAUUUGUUUCUUUUGCAAACCGGAGUUCUUAAGUUGAACCUUCUGGUUAGAUCUCUUAUUUGAGUUUUACCUGUGCAUUAGAUGAGUACUUAGAGUAUGCUUGUUUGUUUGUUUGCGAUAGAGUACCCAGAGUGCGCCGCUUGCUACUUCGAAUCUCUAGGUUUCGCGGAUCAUCAGCAAGGCAAGUAACACUUUGAGCAUACCUUUUACUACCCAGUUUUAUUGCGUUAGAUCAACCCUCAAGCCAUUGCAUGAAUAGGAUCUGAUUAAUAUGUGGGUUUUGGGAAGUAGAUGAGGUAGUACCUAUUACCUGUUUUAUUAUCAAACCCUGGGAGUUACUUCUACGUUUGUUUAUGCCAUGCUAUGCUUGUAGACGUGGAUUGGGUUUGAGUGUAUCCAUGACAGAUGUGAGAAUGUUAAUUAUUGGUUCAACUUAAGGUGGAAAAUUUAAUACACAUCUGGGUGGAUUGAGGCACUUGGGUAUUCCAGCGAUUGCCUGUUGUUUUUCUUUAUGGACCGCCACCCAGGCUCCAAGGGAUCAUGAGAUUAUUCAUACUAGAAACUUCCUUGUGCAGCCACAAGCUACUAUGGGCUCUAGCAUAGUUGAUUAAGUCGUGUGAACUCUUACAGUGGUAGACUAGCAGAUGUAGGGGAAAGUAGGUGUAACGGUUUACCCGAUCGUAAGGUGCUAGCGCUUCUGAAAGACUAUGUCUCGGUCAUCCGUUUCUCAAACACCAUGUAGUGCGAGAAUCCCAACGAAGGAGAUCGAGUCUUAUGGGAAAGUGCACAAACCUCUACAGAGUGUAUAAACUAAUAAUGGUUAGUCGUGUCCCCGGUUAUGGACGUCUUGAGUAUCUAGUACUUCGAUUAUCAUGUGAAUCUCAUCAUGUGACUUUAAUUAAUUUUGUUGGGUUUUAAUGAUGAUGUUUAAUUGGGAUUGAGAGGGUGUCUAUGCUCCCAAUGUUUAACAACCACCCUGAUAGUUAAAUAAAAUUUAUUCCUUUGCAGUAGGGAAAAACUGGCUUUAUGCAAAACUGUAACCAUAGAGCUUUCCACCAGCCAUAUAUGCAUGUAGUAUAGCCUAUUUCUGUUCACUACUCUCUAUGUGUUACAUUGCCAGCAUAUUCCAUGUGCUGACCCGUUUUCGGGCUGCAACGUUCAUGUUGCAGACUUUACAGAUGACGAGUAAGGAGCCUUAGGUCGUGGUUCUAUACUCAGUGAUGCCGUUGGAGUUGAUGGACUCACUUAUCUUCCAAGCCUUCCGC
This 55949-nucleotide long non-coding RNA is filed under the name Triticum aestivum (bread wheat). RNAcentral's name for it is "long non-coding RNA (TAES_LNC001351)". The record is from RNAcentral. Lineage: Eukaryota; Viridiplantae; Streptophyta; Magnoliopsida; Poales; Poaceae.